RNAcentral lists this long non-coding RNA (54008 nucleotides) under Coffea arabica (coffee). RNAcentral describes it as "long non-coding RNA (CARA_LNC002314)". The record is from RNAcentral. Lineage: Eukaryota; Viridiplantae; Streptophyta; Magnoliopsida; Gentianales; Rubiaceae.
UUUUUUUUUUUUUUUUUUGUUUCCUACUUGACAUCUACUACUAUUACUAAUAAAACAUAUUUCCUAAAUAAAAGAAAGAAACUACAAGACAUAAUAUCUCAUGUUUUCUAAUCCAAUACUACUACUAAUAAAGAUAAUUAAAAUCUUCCAAAUCUUCAACCACAAGCUGUCCAUAAUUGAUUCGAACUGGAAAAUCCCUGUGUGCAGUAAAGUCCCAAGUUUUUUGGACUUGAACACAGGUUUCGAGCAUAAUUACGUUUUGCACAUUUUCCUACAAUUAGCACCAUUAACCAAAUAUAAGUAGAAUUUAUCAAUUAAUGUAAUAUUUGAACCGCGGCACUAAAAGCAUUCCAUUUGACAAAAACAAAAAAGCUAAGGAUAAUUAGUAUUUUAACUAAUUUUUUUAUGGGUCUAUCUAACAGAUAUCCAAAGAUAUAUUUUAGGCGCUAUAUUUUUGGAAACAUGAGAUUAAUUAAAGAAAAUAAAUAAAUAAAAGGAAAGGUAGUUGAAAUUAAAUAGGAAAAGUAUAUAAAUGCAAGGAAGGGUAAUAAUUAUUAGUAUGUGUAUAUAUACAUGGUACGUUAAGUGAACUUGUUAGAAAAACCUUUUUUGUAUAUGUAAAGCAUGAGGCCUUAUUUGGUGUAAAACUUUUCAUGAUUUUCUAUUAUCCAUUUUUACACUCACAUAAAUAAGUAUUUACACAACAUAACCAUCACAAAGAAAAUGUAGAUAGUUAUUAGAUUUUAAUAACUUUUGAAAUAUCUUACUAUAUAUAAAGCCAGAGGGAAGGGUUGGUGUAAACAAAAUCUAUCACUUAAUGUUGUGCCAAAUAUACCCUUAUUUCUUAAGGUAAGUACAUCGUUUUAACUAUCUACUUCCCUAUAACCGCUCUACAUCCUUACAAUUGUCAAAUUAACUGUAACUUCUCCAAAAUAAAUUGUCACUUUAAAACAUUUUUUUGGCAUCGUUGAACCAUUUUAAACUGCUACUUUCUAGCAAAAAUAAUUCUAACCAUGUUAAUAUCUUUUUAUUAGUUGUACACAUAUUGUGCGUGCCCUCAAGCACUAGUGACUAUAAACAUUUAGAGUUAGGGGUUUUGAAAAUGAAAUUUAUAGUUGACUUCUACUUUUUUUAUUAUAAAAAUAAAUAUUUCUUUAGUUUAAUUUGCACACCUAUAGGGUAUGCUUUUUCCACUAGUUUAAAUAAUAUGCCAUAAAUUAGUAGUGUGGUUUUGAAUUGCUAAGAUUGAUCCUAAGUAUAUGAAUGUUAAGAUAGAUACUUUACGAUCCUAACUUUAUGAUCGCUCUAAAAAAGGAAAGAUAGAUACUUUACGAUCCUAACUUUAUGAUCCCUCAAAAAAAAUGAAAGUUUUGGCAGUGCACAUUGCGAGUAACUACUACUAAUUCGUUAAGUGCAUGAUUGAGUGAUUAGACAAUUCAAAAUGUGUAAAAAUAUUACAAUUAUCUUAAUUCGUAAUCGAUUAUCCAUAGUAGCAACCAAUAGUUUCUAAGGUUAUACGAAUUUGAGACAGUGGAGACAACACAUGAUGUGAUCUACACUUGGACAUGAUCUAGACAACGAACACCGACAGUUUGGCAGCGAAAAUUUGACCCAAUCUAAUCCUCGAAAUAGCGAACAAUAUUGAUACUAUCUCAACCCACUACUUAACAAAUUAGCGAACCAAACUAUAGGUAGAGGAACGCCACAACCAAGGAGUUACUUGAUUGAUAAGUUUACUUGAAUAACUUGAGAAAGAUUCUCAAAUAUUCAAAGAAGCUCUCUUGGAAAGAGAAAAGUGAAAACUCACAAUUGUAUUGAUUCAAAAACUGAUUGUAAAGGUCUCUUAUCUUGGCUAUAUAUAGCCAUAUAAUUGACAACCUAAAGUGAAUUGGAUUCACUUAAACUAGACCUAAAGUGAAGUGGAUUCACUUAUUAAAUGCUCUCGGCUAGACUAAGGCCUUUUGGGCCGAAUAAAAUGAUUAAAAAUGACUAUCUAAUAUUUGGCCAACUUGGGAGGUUAUGUGGAUGAAUUUAUUAACAAAAAUAAAUAACGAAAACAAUGAUCAAAUAACUAAAUUGCCCUCGACCUUCUAAGCAACUAACCUUCACUUGACUCUUCAAGUUGGAGUAAGGUGUAUAUUGUAGAAUCUUCAUUCUCCAAGUCUUCAAUGAUCUUUAAAUCAUCUCCAACUCUCUCUUGGAUAGUGCAUACAAGAGCGUGAAGGGAUUCGCGCAUCUUCUUGGUACGAGCUCUUGUGAUCGGACCACUUGGUACUUGAAUGACUUGUUCAUCAUUAUUGGUCCUUAGUGCUCCGUCAUCAGUCCCCUCCUUUUGAAGGCAAUUUGUCCCCAAAUCAAUCUCGUUGUCUGCAUAAAAAGGACUUAGGUCAGCAACAUUGAACGUAGCAUGUACCCCAUACUCACCUAGAAGGUCAAGUUUGUAGGCAUUGUCGUUGAUUCUUUCUAUUAUUUGGAAAGGACCAUCACCCCUUGGAAGGAGUUUGUUGCGCCUUUGGAGUGGGAAGCACUCCUUUCGCAUGUGUAUCCAAACCUAGUCACCUGGUUCAAAUACUAUCUUGCGACGGCCUUUGUUUGCACUUUGGACAUAUUGAAGGGUGUGUUUCUCGAUGUUAGCUCAAACCUUAGCAUGUAAGUCUCGCACAAAAUUCACCUUUUUUUAUCAUCCAAGUUAACUCUCUCAUACUCAGGUAAAGGAGAUAAGUCCAAUGGAGUAAGAGGGUUAAAGCCAUAAACAAUUUCAAAAAGUGAAUAUUGUGUCGUAGUGUGCACCGUGCGAUUAUAAGCGAAUUCAACAUGUAAUAAGCAAUCUUCCUAAGUUUUAAUGUUCUUUUUGAUUAUUGCUCGCAACAAUGUAGAUAAAGUCCUAUUGACUACUUUAGUUUGUCCAUCAGUUUGUGGGUGGCUAGAAGUAGAGAAAAGCAGUUUCGUGUCUAGUUUAUACCACAAAGUUUUUUAAAAAUAGUUAAAAAAUUUUACAUUGCUAUCUAACACAAUGGUGCGAGGCAUGCCAUGCAAACGUACUAUAUUUCUAAAAAACAAGUCAGCUAUUAGGGUCCAUUUGGAUCCCUUGUUUUUACCUUUGUUUUUGAAAAACUGUUUUUCACAUUCCAAAUGCUACAGUAAAUGUGUAUUUCCAAAACAACUCAAAAAACACCAUAUCAAAAACAACUCUAUAUGUAUAUUUCAAUUAUGUAUAUUAUAUAUAUAUUAUAUUAAUAUAAAUUGAAAUAAACAAAUUGAAAAUUAUAUAUUUAUAUAUUAUAUAUUAUAUAAAUAUUUAUAUACAUUAAUAUAAUACAUAAUAUAAUAUACAUAAUAUGUAAUAUUGUAUACAUAAAUGUAUAAAUAAUUAUACAUAAUAUAUUAUGUACAGUAUAUUAUAAUAUAUAUACUAUUAAUGUAUAUUAUAUAUAUUAUAUAUAUAUAUUUAUUUAUACAUAUUAUAAAUAUUUUAUUUUAUUUAAAAAAUAUUUUUAUAUAUUUAUAUAAAUGUUAUAUAUUAUAUAAAUUAUAUAAAUUAUAUAUAAUAUAAUAUAUAUUAUAUAUUAUAUAUUAUAUAUAUUAUACAUUUAUAUAAAUGUACAUUUAUACAUAAUAUAUAUAUUAAUGUAUAUUUAUAAUAUACAUUUAUAUUAUGUAUUAUAUAUAAUAUAAUACAUUUAUAAUACAUUUCUACAUUUAUAUUAAUAUACAUAAUAUUAAUUUUACAUUAAUACGUAACAUUAAUACAUUAAUACAUUUAUAUUAAUUAUAUUAAUUGAUUUAUACAUAAUAUUAAUAUAUAUUUAUAAUAUAUUAAUUUAUAUAUUUAUAUAAUAUUCAUUUAUAAUUUUUAAUAAUAUACACUUAUACAUUUAUAAAUAUAUUUAUAUUAUGUAUUAUAUAUAAUAUAAUACAUUUAUAAUACAUUUAUAUAUUUUUAUAUAAAUAUAUUUAUUUAUAAAUAUUUAUAAAUGUAUUAUAAAUGCAUAAAUUAUAUUUAUAUAAAAAUAUAAAAAUAAUAAUUUAUAAUUUAUAAUUUAUACAUUUGUAUAAUAUACAUUUAUAAUUUAUACAUUUAUAAUAAUAUACAUUUAUAAAUAUAUUUAUAUUAUGUAUUAUCUAUAAUAUAAUACAUUUAUAUAUUUUUAUAUAAAUAUAUAAAUAUAUUUAUUUAUAGAUAUUUAUAAAUGUAUUAUAAAUGCAUAAAUGUAUAUAAAUAUAAAAUUAUAAAAAUUAUAAAAAUUAUAAAUUAUAAAAAUACUCAAAAAAUAUUUUUUAAAAAUACCUCUAAAAAUAAUCCAAUAACAUCUACAGUAAAAGUUUUUCAUAUAGUUUUUGAAAAACAACCCCAAAAAUAACUAAUCCAAACGGACUUGUAUUUCAAAAACGAAAUGCUACAGUGCUGUUUUUGAAAAACAAUCCCAAAAACAGCUAAUCCAAACGGAGCCUAUUGUGUUUAGCAUCAUCAGUCUUAUGGAGGUAUAAAAUGUGUCAUUUUAGAGAAACGGUCAACCACAACAUAAAUAGAAUCAUGACCUUGCCUAGUUCUAAGUAAUCCAAAUACAAAGUCCAUAGACAAGUCAAUCUAAGGUGCAUGCGGGAUGGGUAAAGGGAUGUAGAGACCAUGAGGAUUUAUCUUUGAUUUUACAUGGUGGCAAGUUACAUACCUUUGUAUAUGUCUUUUGACAUCCCUCCUCAUUCGUGGCCAAAAGAAGUACUCUUGGAGGGCAGACAACGUCUUAGUAAUUCCAAAGUGAUCCAUGAGUCCUCCUCCAUGUGGUUCUCAAACCAACGGGGGUCACAUGGAGCUCGAUGGAAUACACAACUUAUCCUUGUAAUACAAGAACCCCUAUGAUAUAGAGUAAUGCUCACAAGUGUCUCGUGGCAAGGAAGUAAAAAUCUUUAAGAAAUUCAAAACCUAACAACUUAGCAUCUAAUGUAGUAAGAAGUGUGUAUCGUCUAGAAAGUGCAUCAGCUAUUACAUUAGACUUACCUAUUUUAUACUUGAUCACAAAUGCAAAAGUGUCGAUGAAGGCUAUCCAUCUUGCAUGUCGUUUGCUCAAUUUGGUUUGUGACUUGAUGUGCUUGACCGAUUCAUGAUCAGUAUGUACAAUGAACUCUCGAAGUCGCAGGUAGUGUUGCCAAGUUUGGAGUGCUUGAACUAAGGCCAUUAGCUCCUUGUCAUAAGUUGAGUAGUUCAAGGAAGCUCCAUUUAGUUUUUUGCUAAAGUAGGCAAUCGGGCGACUCUCUUGGAGUAGAAUAGCUCCAAUACCUAUACCAGAAACAUUAAACUCGAUUUCAAAAGCUUUGUGAAAGUUAGGUAAACUAAGAACAGGUGCAUGUGUGAACUUGUGUUUAAGUAAUUGGAAGGAUUUAACUUGUUCUUCCCCCUACUGAAAUGGCACUUUUUUCUUGACAAUGGUUGUAAGUGGUGCGGCUACGAUGCUAAAGUCUUUGAAAAGCGUCUGUAGAAGCUUGCUAAGCUAUGAAAACUCUUCACCUCACUUAUAUUGAUAGAUGUUGGUCAUUUAUUUAUAACCUUUACAUUUGUUUGAUCAACUUGUACCCCCUAUGCACUUAUAACAUAUCUUAGAAAAACAAGUUGAUCAGUGUAAAAAGUGUACUUCUUAAGGUUGGCGUAGAGCCUUUCCUUUCGAAGUACAUCUAAGACAGCUUGUAAAUACAGUGCAUGCUCUUCUAAACUCCUACUGUAAAUUAGGAUAUCAUUAAAAUACACUACCACAAAUUUACCGAUGAAGGGAUGUAAAACAUAGUUCAUUAAUCUGAUAAAGGUACUAGGUACGUUAGUUAAGUUAAAAGGCAUGACUAACCACUCAUAUAAGCCAUAUUUAGUCUUAAAAGCGGUUUUCCAUUUGUCCCCAUCUUUUAUAUGAAUUUGAUGGUAUCCACUUUUCAGAUCAAUUUUUGUAAAAAUGAUAGCACAAUGCAAUUCAUCAAGCAUGUCAUCUAAACGAGGUAUGGAAUGACGAUAAUUUACCGUGACGGUGUUAAUGGCUCGAUAGUCAGUGCACAUCCUCCAUCCUCUAUCUUUCUUAGGCACAAGUAGAACGGGUAUAGCACAAGAACUUAGACUCUCACGAAUCCAUCCUUUGCCAAGUAACUUCUCUACUUGCCUUUGUUGUUUUUGAGUUUCCUCGGGAUUAGUCCUAUAUGGUGCCUUGUUUGGCAAAAAAGCCCCAGGGAUGGAAUCGAUUUGAUGUUCAAUCCCUCUCAAAGGUGGCAAUCCAUUAGGUACAUCAUCAGGAAACACAUCUUAAUACUCCUGUAAGAGGUUAGUGACAAUACUAGAUAGAGAAGUAUCACAUUCAUUAGUAAUAAAAGCUUCUUUACAAAUCAAUAUAAGUAAGACUUGGUUAGAAUGUAAAGUUUUUCUCACAUCCUUCACUCCAGCUAGCAUGCUAUUUUUUCUUUCGUUUCCUAGCUCAAUGGUUCGACUAGACCCACUUUUAUCUUUUGGUGUUUCGGCCAACUUCCCUAGUUUUCCCUUUGAGGGUUGUUUUUUAUUAGUUGCAUGCAUAUCAUACUCCCUUUCUAAACUAACUUGGUUCUCAUGCACUUGUUGUGGUGUAAGAGGUGCAAGUGUGAUUUUUUACCAUUAUACAAAAAAGAGUAUUUAUUCAAGAAAUCAUCAAAAGUAACUCUCCUAUCAAAUUGCCAAGGACGGCCUAAAAGAAUAUGUGCAGCUUGCAUAGAUACUACAUCGCAUACAAUAUCAUCUUCAUAUCGACCAAUGCGAAAAGUAACUAAGACUUGUUUAGAAAUACGUACCUCGCCGCUAUUAUUUAACCAUUGAAUCUUGUAGGGUCGAGAAUGCUCAGUUAUUGGCAAGUUGAGUCGUUCCACCAUCAAUGCACUUGCAACAUUAGUGCAACUCCCCGGGUCAAUGACUAGGUUGCACACCUUGUUGUUUAUAUGGCACCUUGAAUAGAAGAUGUUUUCUCGUUGUAGUUCAUCUCGACUAGUUUGGGUAGCUAGUGCUCGCCUUGCCAUUAGACACCCAACCUUGUCAUUGAUUGGUAUUUCCUCAAGCUUGUCUACUUCCUCUUCCAAUGAUGACAUCAUCUCAUAUUCUUCUUUUUCUUCAUCGGUCAACAUAUCUCCAUUGGGUAACAUAAUUAAGGCCCGUUGGUUUGGACAUUGGGAGGCAAUGUGUCCAAACCCUUGACACCUAAAACAUUUAGUGGCACGGGUCCUCGGUUUAGAGACCUCUUGAUUGAAUUUAAUCCCUUCCUUUGGAGUUGGUUUGGACAGUGGUGCAUUCGGUCUCAUACUCCCUUGGCAAGCUUCAUUUGGCUUUGAGGCAUUAGGUACAAACGAAGGGUUGGUUUUGUUCCUUGUGGUCGGAUUCCUCCAAAUUCCAGAUUGGGAGUUGGAGUUUUGGCGAACCGUAUCCCUCCUUUUAAGUCUCCUUUCUACCUUGAUGGGUUUAUCUAGCAAUUCAUUCAAGUCAAGGUAGUGGUGUAGCUCCACUAUGUCAACAAUGUCAAUCCUCAAGCCUCUUAAAAACUGAGCCAUGGUUGCUUCUAGAUCUUCAUGAAUAUCAGCCCGCAUCAUGGCCAUUUUCAUUUCUUUGUAAUAGUCUUCAACCGAUAGACUACCUUGGGUGAGAGUUUGCAACUUGUUGUGCAAGCCUUGAUGGUAGUAGACUCGUACGAAGCGUUUCCUCAUUAGCCUUCUUAGCCCAUCCCAAGUCCGAACGGGGCGCUCAUCAUUCCUUCUCCAACUAGUGCGUAGUUGAUCCCACCAUAUGGCCGCGUAGUCGGUGAACUCAAUGGCCGCGAGUUUCACCUUUUAGCUUUCAGUAUAGUGGUUGCAUUCGAAGAUCAUUUCGAUCUUUCUUUUGCAUUCCAAGUAGGUUUCGAGGUCGGAUAUUCCUUGGAAUGAAGGAAUCUUAAGUUUAAUGCCUGGAAUUGGGUCAUUACUUCGCUUGUGUCUCCUCCUCCUCCCUUUGUUCCAUCCAUUGUAGUCAUCAAAGUCCGAAUCAUCCUCAAGUUCAUCUUCAUUUGAGUUCUCUUCGGAUUCCUUAGUGGAGGUCCUCAUUCGACCUUGUUUCACGGAGCUUUGUACAUGUUCGAGUUUGUCAACUCGCUCAUGCAAGGAUUCGAUAGAGAGGUUGAUUUUUUUGUAAAAUUCAUUCAACAUGGCAUUCAAUUUAAGCGUAGGGUCAGCCAUUUGAAUGUGUUCACUUUCGUCCAUGCUCAUGUGUACCUGCAAGAAAAGGUUAGUAAGAAAAUAGCCUCACUCGCUUUCUCACGUGUUUCGCUCAAUCGUGUAUCACUCAAGUGUUUAAAACACUCUAAUGUUCUCACCACUCACUUUUCAAAUCCCUUGAUUGCUUCCUUGAAGAAAUCAGAAAUUUCCUCCAAAUAGUUCAACCAAACUUCAAUCAAAUUUUCCCCACAAGUGACGUAGGAUUAGCUAAAAGUUGAAGAAUGAAUAAUGACUCCAAAAGACAGCAAAGGAUACGAGGAGCACACUGGAAUAAUAUUAUUGUUUUAGUCCGCGAAGAGUGACUCAAGAGUUUGACUUUGAUAAGGACUAUAACAAUGUAAGUGUCGAUUGGACUGUUUGGACCCUUGUAUUACUGGAAUUUUUUUCCUUUUGUUGUGGCCAGGUUGUUUAUGGAGUUUUGAUGUUUUUGGGAUGCCCACGUGGUGCGGUUCACAACCCUUGAAAACCAGCUAAUUCGGUUGGCUAUUGGAGCGACAACCGACUUAGGAGGAGAAAUGCGACAAGGGUGGCAGUUGUUUUUGGGAUGCAAGGGUUGGAAGGCUUGUUUCGGAUCUGAUGUGGAAGGUUGAGGGUGUUUUUGGGAGGUUUGGUUUUGGUUCUUGGCUUUCUUGGCUGACUUCAAUCAAAUAGCUUUAGGAUUAGAAGUUGAUCAAGAAUGGGACUUGUUUUCUAAGUAGGAAACCUAGAGCCGUUUCUUUCCUUUUUCUUUCUUCCUUUUUUUUCUUUUGCGGCUCUUACUAAAUCUUUUUCAAGGAAUCAGAUUUAGUUCCAACAAUGCAAUUUUUGGAUCAAAGUUCAAGGUGCCAACACAGUGGAAGUUUUCAAGAAACCCAAGACUUUUCCCAAGAACUCCCAAAUUUGUUUUCAAGAACUUCAAGAAAUCUGAUCAAGAAGCUCAAGAACUUCCCAACUAUGCUUGUGGUAUUCAAGUUUUGCAAGAAACAAUACAAGAAUUCAAGGUUCAAUAGCAAAAUUAGGUUCGGCAGUCCCAAAGGCAAAAUUCCAGCAAUUUCCACUCAAGAAACUUGGUAUGCGACUCUUUUAUUUUCUAACCUUUUUUGCUGGAUUGUUUUCACAACCAAAGCGACACAAUAAGGACACAAUUGACACUAUAAUCUAGAGAAAAUCUAGUAGCAGCUAUCGGCUAAAAUAGAUUGCACACAAGACACAAUAAGAGCAUGAUAAAGAAAACAAGAACCCUAGCGGCUGAAUAUUUUUUUUUGACUCGAUUACUUCCAAGACCUAACACACGACACUAAGAUGCAAAUAAGAACAAGAAUCACUGUAGCAAUACUCGACACAACGUGGACAGAAAAGUGACAAUUGCGGACAGCCAAGAUAAAUGAAAAAAAAGGAGAAACUAGCGACUAAUUUUUUUUUUUUACACACAAAACAGAUUUGGAACAAACGUAUAUGAUUCGAAACAAAAAGAAAAGGAAGGAUAUAACCUAGUGGUUGUCGACUAGCUCUGAUACCAACUGAUGUGAUCUACACUUGGACACGAUCUAGACAACGAACACCGACUGUUUGGCAGUGAAAAUUUGACUCAAUCUAAUGUCUGAAGUAGCGAACAAUAUUAAUACUAUCUCAACCCACUAUUUAACGAAUUAGCGAACCAAACUAUAGGUAGAGGAACGCCACAACCAAGGAGUUACUUGAUUGAUAAUUUCACUUGAAUAACUUGAGAAAGAUUCUCAAAUAUUCAAAGAAGCUCUCUUGGAAAGAGAAAAGUGAAAACUCACAAUUUUAUUGAUUCAAAAACUGAUUGUAAAGGUCUCUUGCCUUAGCUAUAUAUAGCCAUACAAUUGACAACCUAAAGUGAAUUGGAUUCACUUAAACUAGACCUAAAGUGAAGUGGAUUCACUUAUUAGAUGCUUUCGGCUAGACUAAGGCCUUUUGGGCCGAAUAAAAUGACUAAAAAUGACUAUCUAAUAUUCGGCCAACUUGGGAGGUUAUGUGAACGAAUUUAUUAACAAAAAUAAAUAACGAAAACAAUGAUCAAAUGACUAAUUGCCCUCGGCCUUCUAAGCAACUAGCCUUCACUUGACUCUUCAACUUGGAGUAAAGUGUAUAUUGUAGAAUCUUCAUUCUCCAGGCCUUCAAUGAUCUUUAAGUCAUCUCCAACUCUCUCUUGGAUAGUGCAUACAAGAGCGUGAAGGGAUUCGCGCAUCUUCUUGGCACGAUCUCUUGUGAUCGGACCACUUGGUACUUGAAUGACUUGUUCAUCGCCAUUGGUCCUUAGUGCUCCGUCAUCAACACAUAUCAACAAUUUUCAUUUUAAAGAUGUAAAUGAGAAAGGGAAAGAGAAGAAACUAAUGGCAAGAAAAAAUGAAGUGAAGAAAUCGAAGCAAGAAAGGAAUGAAAAGAAUAAAAGAAAAAAGUAGAAUUGGUUGUAAAGAAAAUUCUAUUAUGGUAGUGAUUAACAUUAACUAACGGAUUUUGGAAUGAAGAGGGUAAAUGAGACAUUUUGAUAAAAGGAAAUGAAUAAUUGUAAUUUUCAUUAACAUUUAUUCAGUGUGAGUGCAAAAGGAAUCUUAGAUAUGAGGGAAACUUAGUAAAUGGAUACCUUUACGUUUGAUGUAUUGAUUUUCAAGUAACUAUCCUAAAGUUAAUGAAUUCAAAUUCUCAAUUUGUGUAAGAAAGUUCUUUUAAUUUUCAGGAAAUUUUGGUUUUUGAAAUAAUUCUCUAUUAAUUAGAUUUUAUUUCUUUCUACAAUAAAUUAAAAAGAUUUAAAAGGCAAAAUAAGCAAAUCACGAAGAAAACAGAAAACGAAAAACAAAAAACAGGAGUAACACUGAGGAGCAAAAAGAGGUGGAGAAGUCAUCGUCCUCGCCAUUGCUGUGACUACUUAUCUGUUAACCCCAUGUGCAACUUAAAAGGGGGCUGAAUUAGGUUAUAUUAAACUAAGCAAAUUAUGACAAAAAUUUCACCCAAUUCUAACUAAUUAAAUUCACCUAAGCGAACACACACUUAAAUAAGCAAAAUAACAAUAAGAAUAAAGCAAUUUAACCAUACAAACAAGUAAUAAAAGAAAGCAAUAAAAAGUAAAAAGAGUUUCAAAUCAAACAAACUCCCAAGUUUCUUUCAAACUUGGAGUUCAAUAUUCCAUAAUAGUUUCUUAAUUUGAUGGCAUAGCAAACCAACUUGUACAUAAGAAAACUCACUCUUUACUCACCCUAACUACUUUUUAGUUGAGUUAAAGAGCUUUACAACUUCAGUCAAGUUAACCACAAUUGAAUGCCUCCCAACCAAUUAAGAACUACUACACUUUUCAACCGCACCAAGAUUACAAGUACAUCACACACAAAAGUAUUUUCUCUCAAAAUCGCUCUUACAAAUUGUAUGCAAAACUCUCUCUAAUAUUCAGAUUUAGAAAUAUUUAUAAAUAGUAAAAUUUUAUCCUAAAAGUCUCUCUAAUUGUCAAAAAACUAGCUAUCAAAAAAUUAGCCGUUAGAGUUGUCGGGCAUCCGAUAUUUCAAUUUUAGGUCCUAAGGCUGUUGAGUUGGUCUUCACUAGGAGUUUCAAACAGCCAAUGUAGCAUCCAAGAAAUAUGUUUGACAAAAGCAGAGAGUUUACACAGAGUUUAACCAACUCGUCGAACAUUCAAUAGGCAUGUUGUGCAUCUAUUGCAUCAUCUGAUUAUAAAAUUGGAAUUUUCUUCAUUUUUUAAAUGUCCGAUCCUUCUAACUAGUGUUUGAAACUGCAUCCAACCCUAAACGAUAAGUUUCAUUCAAACUUUUUUUUCUCCUUUCUUUCUUCGUUGAGUUUGGACUGGUUCCUAGCAACUUUCUCAUGAAAAAGAUAUUAGUCCAAAUCAAAAUUUUGGCCCGUUAAUUAUCAACUUAGAUCUUCACCAUCACUUCCCAAUUCAUGUUUUUGAAGUGAAAAUGCAUUGGAAGGUCCUUUUUAUCUCAUUUCUUCUUCUAAUUUCCAAGUUCAUGCAGCUUGUUUGGAUGUUUUAGUUUUAGUUUUUGUUUUCUUUGUGUUGUUAUUGAAUUCCUUGGUAAUUUCUUUGCAAUUUUGUGAUUGUCUUUUGUCUUUUUGGUUGCAAUGAUGACAUUUUUAUAACCUAAUCUAUUUUAAUCUAUGAUGACAUUUUUAUAAUAUAAUCUAUCUUAGUCUACAGGGUUGGGGGGUUAUCAGGUAUACAAACUCAACUGGAUCAAAGGGGUAUUUCUGGCAGCUAUUUUGGAUUUUUUUCACAGUAGGUAGGGGUUCGCUAACAGGUAUAUGGACCUAGCUGUAUCAAAGGGAUGCUCUUCUUUAGAAUUUUUUCACUAUAGGUGGCAUUCGAUACCCCGACCUACAGCUAAAAGAGGGACUUAAUCCUUCUCUAGUGGCCACUGAGCCAAAUCUCGGUGAUUGCAAUUUUGUUAUUGUUUGUUCCUUUAAUAUGAUAUAAAUACUGAGACUUUUGGUUGGAUUCCUAACUUGGGCCCUUCUUUGCUUGGAUUUUAGUAGACUUUCGAGAACCUUUUAUGCUCGAGACAUGCUUGAUGAAAAGCCUAGACUAAAAGAAAAGUUUGAUUAGUGGUUUUGUUGAGAGUCGGAGACGUGUGGUAUUGUGCAGUUGUGACAAAGGGAGAACAAAUUAGGCUCCAAUGGGCAUUUCAAAAGAGGUUUAGAGAUCUUAGUGUUGGUUUUUGCUGAUUUGUCCCCUCUUUUUUUAAUUUUUUUUUGUUUUUGUGAGUUUUGGUGCAUGUACUGUGUGUAUAAGUGUGUAAGAGAUAGGGGUUAUGUUCAAACAUUACCACAAGCCAGCCUAACUUUUAGAGAAGAAAGGGAUUGUCAGGAACCAAGUUAGAAGAUUAGAAUUAAGAAUGAAAUGAGAGAGAGAGAGAGAGAGAGAGAGAGAGAGAGAGAGAGAGAGAGAGAGAGAGAGAGAUUAGGAGAAGGAAAGGAGAAAUGUAGAAUAGAGAAGAUGAAUAAGAGAGAGAAUUUGCAUUUCACUAAAACUGAUUAAUGAUUAUAAUUGAGCGGUACAAAAACUAUUAUAAAAUUACUCAAUACAUCUGAGUUAUCCCAUCCUCUAGGAUUAGCAACAUAACUGUCUAACUAAUUAGGAUCAUGACAAUAUUCCCCACUUAAAAGAACUCUUGUCCUCAUGGAUUGAGAUUAGGAAUGAUACUGCAUAGCUUGGCCUUUAAAGAAUAUGACCAAAAGAGCAACCCGUAUCAAUUUUGUUUUCGAAGUCUUGAGGUCGAUUUUGGAAGUUGCAAUCUAGUAGAUAAUCCCAUCCUCCUGGAUCUCAAGAAAAACUCUCUUCCAAAAGUUUGUAGCCUUGAAUUUUACUCCGUAUUGUAGGCCAAGUUUUCGCAACUAUAAAAAUCUUGGACACACCAUAAACUUCUAUGAAAAUAUCUUGUCCUUGUACAAUUAUAGCUUUGACAUAGUCUGCAUCCUCUUGAUUAUAAAACAAAUAUCAAAAUGUUUAGGAUACUUGAUCUCAAAUGAGAACUCAAUUGCAUCUUUACAAUCAAGUGCAACUCGAUAAUUUGAAUAUCUUGAAACCUUGUAACCAAGUGUAUACUGAUGCAAACCAAUUCCCACUUUCAUUUCUUUCCUAAGAUUAAUUCCCUUAGAGUCAGCAUCAACAAAAGCCAAUGACUUAAUCUUCCCAUCUCAAAUUGGUUUCUAUUGGGAUGAAUAAGCACCCAAGCUCCUACCAAAGUUAUGUUGAGGGAUUGCUUAAAGUUUAAAGCAUACUUCAUGCCCCAGUUUGAUUCUUCUAUCCUCCAUUCCGGUUGUCUUUGACUAAUCAAGUCUCUAGUUGGAUGACCACUACUAUCAAGAUCUUUGUAGGAAGUUAAAUCCUUUCCAUACCGUACAAAACAACUUGCCAUCAGAAAAUUUAGGCAUAAAGACUUUGAAAGAAACUCAACUUGAGAACCUGCUAUAUCAUCAUUCUCCACAUCUAUCAUAGACUUAGCAAAACUAGUAUGUGCAUUAGUAUCCUUCAAUAAACUUCCUUGAUUCCUUAUUGAGAAAAAUUUUAUUAGUGUAGCUCCUCCUAUGUACAUGAUAGUUGGCCCUUCCAACAAUACCUUGAACAUAAUAUCCUAUCCAUCAUUGAUCAUUUCGGGUUGCAAUUACCGGAGUUCAAAUGUUACAAAGCUAUAACCAUACAUCUAGUUGACUUCCACAAAAAUACCCAUAUCAUUAAUUUGCAAAAUUCUCCGGUGACAAGUAAUCUUAUGCUCAAGUAAAUUCCAUCUAGCAUUGAAACAAAAACAAAGAGUAUCACCUGUCAUGGUGAAAUUAGAAUGUCCAAGUUGACAUAUUUUUGGAUUGAGAAUAUGUAGUUCCACUUGUAAGAGUGCCACCCCUGAACCUAGUCACUAAUUUAGACCAUGGUUUCAUCACAAUUUUGGACUCCUUACUAAUGAUUCCAGCCAAAUACUCUUGAAAGAGAGAAUCUAUAAGAACCUCCAUGAAGUCUCUUGGCUUAAAGAAUUGUAGCACAAACUUCUCAGCCAAUCCAAACCUCCUAAUAACAUCAAUGAUCUGAGUUUUUCAACCCCUUUGUGAUUUUUUUCAACAACAGUCCAUUAUUGCAAUAUACUAGGCAUUUCCACUUCAUCUUGCAAUCUUUGCCUUUCAGACAUAUUAAUCUCUCCUUUCAUCAAUUGCGGGUCUUGGAACUCAAUAUCAACAUUUUCUUGAAUACAAAUUCCAUGAGUUUCAAUCUUCGUGUCAUCCAACAGUUGAUGAUUUAAGAUGAUUUCACCACAUUUUCUCAUCCCUUCCUCAGAAUUUUCUAUAGAAAUCAUAACCAAAUCAUUUGUUGAAACAUUUGGUAUUGAAAUGUUACCUAUUUCUUCCUUGUUCAACUCUACCUCAAUGAUUACAAUUUAUUAGUACAAAAAUUAUUUAUAAAAUUGCUCAAUGCAUCUCAAUCAUCCCAUCCUCUACAAUUAGCUACCUAACUGCCUAACUAAUUAUAAUCAUGACAAGGAAUCACAAAGGACAAUAGACAUACGUAGAAGAUGAAAACAUUUUUGAAAAUGCAGCCAAGUCCUGCAAUGUUCCCUUAGAUGUUCACCCCUAGCUUUUUGGAACCAGUAGCUUUAUAUUAGAAGUUUUCAUUUAUGCCCGUACUAUUAUAGAGUCAAUUUAGCACAAAAAAUCUUCAAUUUGUCAAAUCAGGCUUUAAUUUUACGUUUAUAAUUCAUGUGACCUAAUAUGAAAUAUGGGACAUUGUAUUAUUUUUGUUUCUUUUUUUUCUUUAGUUUUUAAAAUUGAGCGUGACCAAGUGUCCAGACUUCGUUAUUACAUAACUUUUUCCUACAAAAGUUUGAAAUGUGGGACUUUACUUUUAUUUAUUUAUUUAUUUUUACGCAUGUUCACUUGUGAAAAUUUCAAUUUUGGUAUAAAUCACAAGUAUCCAUAUUCAUUUUAUGAUUUGGGACUAAUCUUAGUCGAAUCGGAUCAGGCCUUGUGGAAUUUUCUUUAAUGCUAUUUUUUGAAGUUAAGUUUACUUGUGUUUGACUUCAAAACUAGAAGAGCGAUAAUUAAAGUAGCAAUUGGUUUGCAUUGGGUGUAUGUAGUUGCUCAAGGCUAACAUCUUCCUCAUAAUUAAUCUCGUGAUCUCAUUUCUCUUAUUUGCUGGAUUCGUCCAUGUAAAUGGAGUAUUUUUUUUUGCUUCAAAAGUCUAAAAUUGCAUUUUGAAUAUUGUUUAGGUAAAUGUGACAAUCCAAAUACCUCGUAAUGACUAUUGAUAUCGGAAAAUUUUUCCUAAACUGUUGAUGCAUUCAGCUAGAUUUGCCAAAUCCCAUUCUAGGCUUUCUUUUCCCCCUUUUCCCUUUAUUGGUAUUUUAUUCUAUUAAUGAAAUAAAAAAUUCAAAUAGCAUCUUAAAACCUUCUCUAAUUUUUAUUAUAAUUUAUUUACUAAUUUUACAUUUAUUAUUUAAUUAUUUAUUUUUUUACUAAUGUUGGGCAAAUUCAAUUUGGGGGAGUGGGAAAUUGGAAAAUCUUAUAAAUCAAGUUAAAAUGACCGUUUCUGAACUGUUCACGGUCAGAUUUUGACUAAAAAAAUAUGGGGCCUAAAUCACUAGUUGUAUAUCAAUUUUUAUAAUAUGGGUAAGAUCCACAAAAUUUUAUACACGUUAUGUAAAUAAAGUUACGUUGCGUGCAAUCAAAAUUACGCAUCAUGAAAAUGACCAAAACCGUCGCAACCAUUCCCGCCCCUUCUCCUCGGUCCAGUAUAAGUACGACUUCAGUGCAAACUUCAAAACUUUUAUACCACUCAGACCUAUGGUUUGGAUGCCAAUUGAUGGUUCCAUCACGUUUCAACAACCAUUCAGAAACUGGAUUGGGGCCAAAUUAAAGUGAAUCUUUUCAAUGAAACUGCUGAAUUGGUUUUUUUUUAGUUGAAUUUGAUUUUGGAUUUUAGGGCUUGAAAUUAAGUUUCAAUCUACUUGGGAGAGGUAGAAUGAAAUUAAUCCGACCUCUCUUUCUCCCAACCCACAUCCUAAUGCAGAGAGCUGCGGGGAAUGUAAGAACAAAAGAGAUGGUGAAGUCUUUGAUCGGUGGUACCCGUCGAUUCUGUAUUUCCUCACUUCUCAAACCAUCCUCUCCAAUUUCUCUUGAUUUCAGGUACCCUCACAAAAAAAAAGAGAGAAAGGAAUCUAUGUAAUUCUUUGGUUUUAUUUACUGCUCAAUGUUUUUGUUUGUGUAAAGAAAAAAACAGUUAUGCAUGUGUAGAUUAAAAACAAUCUAGUAGGAAAAAAUCGUGAUUUUAAAUCCUUUUAGGUGAUUUUGUUGCUGGAUUUGUUAAUUCCUAAUUAACUUUAAUCUUUCUGUAACCUGCGAGGAGCAAAUAAAAGGGUUAAGGAGUUUGGGAUUAUCAUGAGCAAUAAUUUGAGAAAUUGAGGAAAAAUGGGGUCUCUUUGAUAAAAAAUUUCGGUAAUGAUUUGUUUGCUUAGCUUUCUACCUUUAGUUGAGGUUUACUGGGUUUUCAUUAGUUUUGCUGGUUACUUUAUAGCCAAUUCUUUAGAACCCGUGCCAACGGUUUUCGGUUAUAUUUAGGCCUCCAAUGCAAUUGACUUUAAGAAGUUCAUGGUUGGCACUGAGGAAUUUUAGCCAUGGCAGAGUGAAUUUAGUGAUAUCUCCACAGGGAAAGCCGAAAUUUGAGACUCAUGAAAUUGAGCAGCCUAAAAAGGACAAGUGGAUGACAAAGAAGCGGCUGAAGAUGAAAAGGAAAAAAGAAAAGCAAAAGAGAAAGGCUGCCAAUAAAAGAGACCCUAGAAGACUAGGUGUCAAAGGGAAGAAGAAAAAGCAGAGGUUUGCUAAUGCUGAGGAAAGGAUUAAAUACAAGCUGGAAAGGGUAAGUUGACAAACAACUAAUUAUUAUUAUUUGUCUCAAUGCAGCAUUUAAAGACCUGCCUUUUUCUGAAUAAGAUAAUUCGGAUAUGCAUUCUCUUUUGAAGUUUCUACUAUUCAUCUUCAUAUAUAUGGACUCAAUUAAUAGCUGACUAAUUGUGUGCUUGACACAAACUCUGUUCCUGGAAUGAUCAUGGUGGAUAGCUUUGGCUAAGCAGUUCAUAGUUCACUGGUUAAAAAUGGGCACAUUGCGGUGCAUCUUUGUGGUGCUACUCAAUUUGUUAGCGUUUAUUUCGAUGGCAAUUAAUUCUUGUUUGUGUUUUUUUAUCUAUCUGAUCAACUGAUGGCGGUCAGAAUUCUCCUUAAGGUUGUUCUUUAAUUCCUGGGUAUUGGUUAUUUCUAUUUUCCCUGUUUUUCCUUCUAUUCUCAAAGAGAGAGAAUUGGCUAUGGGUUGUAUAUGUAUGCCUCAGAUUGGCUUAGUUUGGUUGGUUAACUGACAGGGCUGAUUUUUCUUUACCUCAGGCCAAAAUUAAGGAAGCCUUGCUAAUUGAAAGACUAAAGCGGUAUGAGGUCAACAAGGUCCAGGGUCCUGUUGUUAAGCCACAUGAGCUGACUGGCGAAGAACGAUUUUACAUGAAGAAAAUGGCCCAGAAAAGGUCGAAUUAUGUACCUAUUGGUAGGAGAGGAGUAUUUGGUGGUGUCAUUCUUAAUAUGCAUUUGCAUUGGAAGAAGCAUGAAACUGUCAAGGUCAUUUGCAAACCUUGCAAACCUGGUCAAGUGCAAGAUUAUGCUAGUGAAAUUGCCAGGCUUAGUGGUGGAAUUCCAAUUCAAAUAAUCGGUGAUGAUACAAUAGUUUUUUAUCGCGGAAUGGAUUAUGUGCAGCCAGAAGUUAUGUCGCCCAUCGAUACAUUGUCCAAGAAGAGGGUAAGUUUCUUCUAUGAUUUACUUUGUUUAUAAAUCUAUACUUCUUUGGGUACUACAUAAGUCUCUGGCUACCUGUAGGAGAUUCUUAGUUAUCUUUGAUUGCUUUGUGGAUUGGUUUUCCUACAUAUCUUUUCUACUGCAAUUUUUAAUCGUCUUAGUGUCUGAGUUGAUUUAGACUCAUUCAUUGGCUUGUAUAACUUAUGCAACCUUCUGAUAGUUUUUUAGUUACUUUUUCCUUUUUCAAGACUCUUGGGUCUAUUCUGAUGAGAUGGUACACUUCAUUUUUUUUUGAAGCUGAAAAAUUGACAUUGGACAUGGGACAUGAAGACAGUCUACAAUGAAAAACAUUUUACUUGAAAUAACAUAACCAGACAUGUAUAGUACAUUUCGAUUAUUUGGUUAUUCCUCAGUCAUGCAGGCCAUCCUUUUAUCACUGAAGUUUCUACUGAACUUCAGUUACAAGCAUGUGUUGUUGCAUGUAUGAUCAUAUGGGUGCAAAGUGGAUAGAAUCUAAGUAAUACUGGUAAGUCAAAUUGCUAGCUUUUGAAAACUAGUACGAGGGAUAUAUGUAAUAGAAAUUUGCGAGAUUUUUAAAACUUUUUGGAACAUACUGGUAGGACUUAACUUAUGUCAGUUUCUUGUAUAUUGGCGUUGGUUGACCCAAAAAAAAAUUUUUUUUUUGGGGAAUAACUAUGCACUCUGCUGGAGUUUUUGCAAGCAUAAUUUGAGCAUUAAAUUUCUCUCUUCUGUGUUCUUGUCAAUAUAUCUCUUAUAAUGAAAAUGUUGGAUGUCUGAAAAAUGUUGCAAAUAAAUGUGGAUUGUUUGUCCUAAAUAUAUUCGUCCAGGAUCACAAUGAGUGCUUAGGUGUUAUUAAAAAGAUCGAGGACUAUUUGCCUUUACAGCCAGUUUAAUGGUUCUACAUGAAUAUUUGAUCUUCAAGAUUUGAAUUUUCUUUAUCAAUUCAGUUGUUCUUGUGAUCCAACAAUAAGAUUGUUUUGGGUGCAAUCCUGAAUAUUGAUUGUGGCUUUGUUUAUUUGGAUUGUAUUUUAGACCCAGUAAUCCUGUUUGCAUUUGGAAAUAGCUUUCAAUUGAUUCAAGGAUUCCAACCAUGUCAGUUAAUUUUACUUUUGACAUCAGUGCCUUUAUGGUUCUGUUUCGAUUGAUAAAGGCUUAAUUUGGUGACUUCAUGUAGGGUUGUUGGUGGUCUUUAUAUGAUUGUAGCAAGUUCUAGCUUUAGGGCUGAUGCUGAAUUUCAGGAUCACGGCAUUGUUGUUUUAGAAAAUUCCUCAACUCUAAGCCAUGAUAACUCACUUGUAUAGGAAUUAUAUGGUUGUUUGGGUGCUAAAACAGAGAUCAGUAGAAAAUAAUAAAGAAACAAAAUUAAAAAAGGGGAGGGAAACAAGGCUGUGUUUAUGUUCAACUUGGCUACUACAGGAAUAUAUAGUUCUUUCCUUGUCACGGUUAUCAUGGAUGAGUACUUGUUUUGUCUAUUGAAAGGAGUAUAUACGGAGUUCUGAACAAGAGUUCCAUGCUUCUGUUAGGUACCAAAUUCACUAUACAUUCAGGGAUGUCUGACCUGACAUGUGAGAAUUUGCAGUUACCUUUUACUGUAAUUUUGUGACUGCGAUAUCACUAUAGGUUGUGGCAGUGCUCUAUGAAUGUCUUCAUGAGAAAUGCAAAUGUCACAUUUGUAGUAGCAUUCACGUGACAAUUAUACUUGGACUUCUUGUAAUAAACUUCAAGUUUGCUUCUUGUUUGAAGUCAAUGACAGAUUUUCAUAAAAUCUAGUGUUUUUGAAAGCUGCCUCUUUGUUGGAUUACUCUAUGGAAGAGGUCCUUUUUAAUUUAUAUCAAAAGGUUUAUAAUUGUCCGCAAGGUUGUCAUAUGAAGGUUUCAAUUUUAUAAACCUCACCAUUAACAUUACCUUAUCCGAGAAUAUUGUGGAAUCUUCUUGGCAAAAAAAUUUUUACGCUCAUGUGACUUUGCUUGAGCUAUAUAAAUGCUCUGUAGAUGGGCUAUUUUGUUGGAAUCAUCCAUCUCCUUUAUGAUUGGGUAUCCUGUGGACAUCAGUUUAAUGAGCAGUCAUCUCUUAGGCAAUCAAAGAAAAAGGGGUCUUACUCGGCAUACAUUUGUCUGGUUUUUGAUGUGCUCCUUUUCCUUCUCUUUUCCAUUGUAGAUUACAAUUUUGUUAACCUUUUCAGUGAUUUUUUCAUCUUCUUUCAGGCAUUAGAAAAAUCCAAGUACGAGCAGUCACUUGAGUCUGUUAGACGGUUUAUUGCUAUUGCCGAGAAGGAGCUUGAAUUAUACUAUAGACAUGUUGCACUUUACGGUGACCCAAAUGACCGGAAUCUGAACUCAAUCUUUGAUAAACCAAGACGAAUAGAAUGGGCAAGGAAGGUUGAGGGAAAAGAAGAUGCGUCUUCAAUAACUGAAGAAUGUUCUCAUGCUCUCUUUCAAACAGAUAUUGAUUCCAUGGAUGAUGAAAUCUUAGAAUCUGAAGAAAUCUCUGAAUUUGAUGACAAGUGCAAGAAUAAUGCUGCAUCUGCAAGUGAAAUAGAUUAUGAGGAUGAUGGAACUCAUACUGGGGAAAUAGAGUCAUGUGACGAAGAAACAGGUAGUGUCUCUUAUACUAGAAUACCAGGUUCAGGAUCUGUACAUCAAGUAAAUGGAAUGCUGAAUGAGAAUUUGUUUUGAGCAAUAUUUUGUUUUGCAAUAUUUAUUUUAAUUGGUUUAGACCCUAUAUUGCUCUGUUUGUUUUAUUUUCUUUCAGGAGCUUGCUUUCCUUAAUCUUACAUAUACUGCAUUUUAUCUUGUUAUAUCUGUUUGAAGCAGCAAACACUAAGUUUUGAUCUCCCUGUUGGCUAAAUUUAAAACACUUGCUUGUCUUAAUCUGUCUGUUUUGCAAAAGAAGAUCAGAUGCAUGAUUGGCCAAAUAUUCGUUUUACAUGUAGACUUAGGGGAUAAAAAGAAUGCUCUUGCAAGACAAUAGAUAAGCUAUGAUCAGAUCAAUAGGACAUUGAGUUUGUCAGCGAAUUCUAGUAAAACAAAUGGUGUUAUGGUUACAACUUCAAGGAGCAAUACAGUUCAAGAUUAACGAAUGAAGAAACUUGAAAAACCAAACAAGCGUGUUCGAAAUUUUUCCUGGCUAUUUGGUACCUGUGAAAAGUUUAGAUAGAAAAUUGAAGUUGGUGGUUGUCAUUAAUUUCAUGAAUAGCCAGAGAAUGAUGCUCAAUCACUCUUAAUGACUAGUAGAAAAGAAAAUUCUACUUCUUAGACAGUUUUAAUGUAUUUCUAAAGAACUGCUGAUGAGCCGUAGCUAUUACUACGUGGACUUUGAUAAUAGUAUGUGUUCAUUCUUGUAAAAUCGCACCAUGUGGACUUUUACUUCAUAGCUAUUCAAGUUUUGGUGACACAUGUUUUCUGCUCAAGCCAAUAGUCCAUAGAAAUAUAUUGGUCCAUUUAGUUCAUAGCAUAACAAUUUCUUGUGCCACAGUUUGUGCAUUAUGUGUGCAGCAAUGAAGUAACAUGGUGUUUUGUAGUUAUUUAGGUUUUAUAUCUAAACUCAUACUUGGCAUUGAUUUUCUUGGAAAAGAAGCUGUAUAUGCAGUCUACUAGAUCCAUCGAUUUUUCUGGUGCCAUUUUUAUCACCAAUUUAAUGGAUUAAAUUUUUUUUUUUUUUGGUUCUAAGUAGGUAUAAGCUACUUUUAGUCUCUAUUCAGGGCCUACAGGAUAAACUCGACUUCACUGAUGGAUGAGGUAGUGGAGAUCGAGGUAGCAAGUGGAGAAAAACUUGACAUGGAGAAGUUAAAGAGGGGGAGAAUGAGUUGGUGCUGGUAACUUGUAGUAUGCUGCUUAAUUUGGGAUGAGAAAGUUGUUAUGAUGUCAAAACCAAAAAAUUGCUAUAAAAAUCACUAAUGCUACGAGUCUGAAAAUAUUAUUAAGCAUGUUCAUUUAGAUUUCUGAUUUAGUUGUGUCUGAUACAUUUUCUUCAUUAUCAUGAUUUUGAUGAAGGGGAUACUUGAUUUGAAACUUGAUCAAAUGAGUUUGAUGUUUUAAAAAAAGCUGAUGGGAAGUGGCAGAGUAAUACAAUAUUCAAUAACUGCUUUUAUCUUUGCUUUUAAUCGUGGAGUCUUCAGUUUGUUAGAAACCACUGAUUUAGUUUUUUAUUUUUAUUUAUUUCAUUUUUAUGUUCCUUUUUCCUCAGUGACAAACUGUUUGGCUAAGUUUGCGUAAAGCCUUUUUAUCACUAGGCGCUGAUUGUCAAACUUACAUAUAAUUCUGUCAACUUGGGUAGGUUAUGGUCAAACAAUAUGAUGUGUGCUGCAACAAGAUUGGCCAAUUUGUUACAGGCAAUAGAUAUCAUCAUAGAUGAUGAUGCAUGGUUAUUUAAUUGGAAAUACAAAGAUAAUGGUAUCUGGAUGUGUUGUUCUGUUCAGUUAAGAAGUCCUUUGGGUUAAAAGGCAGGUGUCUGUGGUGAGUAAUAGCAUGUUUCUUCAAUUUAAUACUUAAGUUGGUGUACCACUAGAUAGUGUUAGCAGUAGUUUCUGAUAUUUGGAGUUAGUCAUUUGUUUGGUCUUUGGUUAAUUGCCAAAAUUUUCAAGAUUUCUGGUCCGUAGGUCAAACCUUUUUUUAUUCAGUUGCUUCAGAGACCUACAUAAAGUGUUCAUAUUCUAAGAAAAAUGCCAGUUAGUCAUGUAGUUUGUUUAAAAGUUUUGCCCUAUUUUGGAGAAAAAUUAAUUUUUGGGGAAUCGUUGAGUUUUCCAUAUUUAGAGUAAAGAGAUCAUGUACGAGAAUUUGAAGAACCAGACUGUGGUGCUUCUUUCCAUUUGUCAUGGUUAUUAAUCAUCAUUAUAUAUGUGUUUCCACAUUUCAACUCCUUUCUAAUUUCCUAGGUAUAGUAUACUGUAAGUCCGUAUUAUAUAUACUUUAAGAUUGCCUGCUGUGAAAAUUUUCCGGAUGCUGGAGCUAUUAACAUCAGGAAUAACUUGCUGCAUCUCUUUGCUUUUUACCACCAAGUAUCUUAGCCUAAGUCUUGCUUUCCUUUAGAAUUUUGUAUUUUUCUUUGUUUGUAUACUUAAGAUUAACUUCUUUAUGCCUAUUAUCCAGUAGCUUCACUACAGGACAUUGUAGCCAGAACUUAGCCGAGAAUCACAUGAUAAUUUCUUGUGAUUGAUGUACACUUGCAGUAGUUUGAGUGAUGAUAAUUGCUGAAAAUUUUAUCGUUCAUGAUAUUAAAGGUAAAUUAGGAGUGAGCUGACAUUUGGCCUUUCAGAGGAAUUGAUUUUGCUUUGUCCUUAACGGUCUGGUAGCCUUUAUUCAAACAUUACCCAGUGAAACUUUCCAUGUGAAUUUGUGUCAUUUUUUCAAGAUUUACAAGAUGAAUGCUGUUAAUUGAAACUCUGACUAUAUAUGGCUAAAUGAUAUUGUCUAUCAUAGAUUAGCUUAGAGUAAACUGUUGAAUUUUAACAACCUGACUUAGUCCUCCAAUGUUGCUCGUGCUUCAUAAUGUGCUUCAUGUGUUGCUCUAUGGUACAAAAAGGUACAUUUUCUUUCCAAUAUACUUUCUGAAUCCAGAUGUGGAUUAGCUUACAGUUCAUUUGACAAGCAAUUACUCUUUCCUUCUUUUAAUUUCUUCCACAGCAAUCCAGAUGUGGUCAAUAUUCCUUGAUACCAAAGUUAUUUUACGAAUAGCAUAUUAGUAAGAUUCUGAAGAUUUGUUAAAAUAACUUUUGGUAUCAAGGAAUAUAAGAAGGGCAAAAACUCAAGAAUUGGCCUAAGUGAGCAAAGAUUAAUUUUAAAUAGAAUUAGACCUUUUAAUUACCCGACUUUCAUAUUAAUCCAAAACGAUAUGCAACUAAAAGUAUUACACUUUGCUUUGGUACUAGUCUUUUUCUUUUUUAUUACCAAAUUAAUUUCAAUCGAGCUACAUGGAAGGCUAAUCUGCGAAACCCAAGAAAACAAUUGCCUGCAAAGCACAAAUUUUUAUAGAACAACCUAGUGAUUAACUCUGCAUUGUUUGGAUGGUAUUGUCAAAACAAAGAAAAAAAGUUUGUAAUUGGAAAGAUAGAAGAAAUGAUAGUAAUAACCUUAAAACUUUGGUAUAUAUAUAUAAAUAUAUAUAUAUAUAUAUAUAUAAACUAUAUAUCAGAUGUACUUCCAUCUAGGUGUAAGAUAAUUUCAGAGAUUACCGCGUAAAAGAUUUGGAACCAAAGCUAUACAAAGAAAGUUAUGUAUCCAUAUGAGAUAGAUUAGCAACACUUACUGGAAAUUGCAUGCUAGAUAAGCAAUUUGUUAUUGAAAGAGUAAUUAAAGUUUGCUAUUUAUUAAUAAAAAAAUGUGAAGUACAUUAUGUACAAAGAAUGGUACAUAUUCCUAUAUUAUUGAGUAUAUAUUCUCAAUUCAUCCAUGAUAAUUUGAUAAAAGUCUUGCCUAUAUGCUCAAACAAAUGCGCCUUUGAUGAUAAUUUUUUAAAAAUUUUCCUGGAGACUGAAAGCAAAUAAAGUUUUAUAAAGAUUUAUUUAUAGAACACACCACCUGUUUCUGUAAACUAUACAGUAGCAACUGUAUAUAGAGCUAGUAUGUUCUUUUACAAUCACAUCAAUGCAGAAUCUUUUCUUUCUUCUGGAGCUUAAUAUAACGCUUGACAAUCACCACAAGGGAGGUUCCCUGUCUUUAUCAGCAGUCAGCAGCAUCACUUACACCAUGCUUUCACCUUCAUCAAUCCAAAUGAGAUCAGUUUCUAGCAUCCAAUGGCAUGCUUCACCUUGUCCAGGUGAAAGAUUCAAUACUCUGAGUGAAAUAUGAUCUGCAGGAAUUCCAGAUGUAUCCAUAUGACAUAUUGCUAGAACCUUGUUGAUAGGAACUCCUGUUUCAACUUCAACUAAGGUGAUACGAUACAGGUGUGUUGAGGGGAGUGAGUGGCAAAAAUACGUAGCAAAGGGGAAGAAAAGCUCAUGACAUGCCACAAGUUUUUUGACAUCAAAUUGUUUUAUAUUUUGAAUCAGGAGAUUAGUUCCUGAGCCCCUUCCGCUUUCGGUUGUCAAAACAGAUAAAAGGUUUUUGCCUAAAAGAGCUUUGGAAAAUCCAAGCAUCUCCUCUAAUGACUUGGGGCAGCUCUUGGUCUCUUCCUUUAUUGCUGGUGCAUUGCAAUAAAAAAUGGUACUUAAAACUGCAUCUCUUGUUGUAGGAGACCCAAAACACUCCGGAAAGAUUCUUUCAAUGUCAUUGGAGCUCAUCAUAAACUUUUUUGCUAUUGGAAAAGGAAGGAAUGAACGAUGUGGGAAUCUGUGAUUUAGAACUUUUGGUAUAUGGACUUUAUUCCCUAUUUUAAGCACUGAAAGUCGAAAGAAAACAUGAGGAUCGUCUAAUCCUUGGCUAGGAGAUAACUUGGUAACAUUUUCUCUGUAGCUACUUUGUUCAGAUUUUUGAGAUGCAUUUGCAAAGUAUGGUCCAUACGGAAUAUACUUGAUCAGUUUUGAUGUUUGAGAAGUAUUUUCUAGUCCAUAAGGUGUAUACAUAAUCAGCUUAGAUCCUCGAGAUGCAUUUGCAGCAUAUGGUCCAUAUGGUAUAUAAUCAAUCAGUUUGGAUCCUUGAGAUGGAUUUGUGAUGUGCCGGUUUUGAUCCUGAUUGGAAUAAGAACAAGCUAAUUGAGCAGUGGAGCAAAAUUUGGCAUCUGCUACAAAAGUUGGCUUGGACAAUAAUGAAUUGAAGUAACUAAAGUCUCGCUUAGACAUGGGAGAUAGUUUUGAGAGAAGAACUUCAGGCAUUGGGUUGUGCACGUAUUUGGACCAAAGGCUAAGCUGAUUAUGAGCAACAGAAGAUGGAGGAUAUGAAACAGGUGACAAAGAGGAAGCACUUAUGCCAUUGCUGUACAGAAAGUAAGCAAGAGUUAGAGAAACCGAUAAUAAAGUUGGGAUGGCCAUCCUAAUGAUUGAGGAUAAAAAUUUAUGGACUUAUAGGCUGCAUCAACAAGGGUAUGAUAUUUAUACCUGCAUUUUUUUCAUUAUGGUGUUGCUCAUUGAUCAUUCAAAGUGGUCUUUGCCCCUUGGAUAAGCUGUUGAGAAGACCACGACAACUGAACUAAGACAAUCUUUUCCUUUGUUGAACAAGAAAAGAAUUUCACACUUCGAUAAACCUAGGGUGGAUGGGGAUGUUAAAAUUUGAUUAGUGACCUGCAUAAUCAAGGUAAGGGGAAUUUCUCGGGGGUUGAAAGUAUCUUCGGGCAUUUUAAUGAUAAUUGUCGUGAUUAACAGAGUUCAUGUGAAAGUAAAUUGUUUACAUCAGCAUACUGUGCUGGAAAGAGUCUUCUUAGUGGUAUGUACAAAAGUAUUGUGAACAUUUUACCACCAUGUUUGUGGAUUUGUGUAUAUGGAUCCUGUGUUUCCACCUCUAUUAUACUUUCCUUUUUUCUUCCCUUGUACAUGUUUCACUUUCCAUUGUUACCUUCCUUCCAUCAGUUGCACUUCAUCCUCCAGCCACCUGUAAUGGUACCAGACUGAGCUAUGUGGAAUUCUCAAAUCUAAUAACAGGAAUGAAUAAAUCAACUGGAUAACAACUAAUCAAUUGAAGAGAUAAGUUGUAGAAUUGACUCAGAUAGCUGUAAUUGAUGUAUGAAUUAGGGGUUACAGAAAGGGCGGGAAAAAGCUAAGAGGAUGAACAAGAGUGAGGAAUUUGGGGGAAAAGAAACAGGAAGGGCUCAGCCCCAAUCUCUGUUGAUAUUACACAAAAAUUGCCUCCCUAUUACAUUCAAUCUAUCCUAUUUAUAGAUGACCUGCUGAUAACCAACUUCAUAUCUUCUAAUUGGCAUGACCAAGUGGCUGAGAGGCCGUUGCAGCCAAUUUGAAAGUUUGUUAUUCGAAUUUCAGUCUUCACGUGCGUUUGUUGCAGAAUCAACUUCCAGCUAAGGCGUGGUCUUGAAAUCACGCCUUCAUUUGUCUCUUCUACCUAUUCCACGUCUUUCCUCCUUCACGCCUUCCACUUGACCUUAUGACACCACCUUCGGUCCUCCAUAUCUAACAGCACAGACAUUUCACCAAAGUAAUUCUUCUACUGCGAACUACCACCAUUUCUGUAAACUCUUCAUAAACAAGAUUGAAACGACAAACUAUCCGAUGUGAAGCUAAUUUUUACAAAUUCUAAGCAAAAAUUACUCGUGAAAAUGGUAAAUCAAAAAGUAAUCUAGUAAAGAUGUGUUAGAUUAUCAUUUCUGAUCUUGUUCUUUAUCUGAACAAAGCUGCGUGGGUUUUGAGGUUUUUGAAGGGGAAAAAGCAUGAUAGAGUAGAAAGGAGUAAGAUACGGCUGAAUGAUCUAGACUAAGGUCUCCAAUAUGUCUGACUGUUUAAUUUUAGUAUCUUCCAUGAAGUAACUUUAGUAAUAAUUAAGUUUUGAAGACUCAAUCUUCUUUGUGUAUAAUUCUUGCUAGGGUUGAAAGAUAAAUCAAAUUACUCGACACUUGAAUUUGAUAGGAGUUGGUUCAAGUUUGGUUUACUAAUUAGUCAAGCCAAGGUUAAAUAGUGUUUUAUAUUUGAUAAUAUUCAAAUUUGAUAAAAAUGCUCGUUCAAGUUUGGUUUGAUAAAUAAACGAACCAAGUUUGAACAAAAUUUUGAACUUAUUAAAAUAAUCAAACAAGUUUGAACAUUAGGAUGUUCGAUUUGAUUAGGUUUAUUUACACUCCUAAUUCUUUUAGUGCAAUUUUUUCUUAAAACAUAACCAAGUGCAUGCAAGUGCAAUUUGCUUCAAAAACGUAAACUAAUGUUUAGUUAUUUGCUUGUAUUUGCUAGAUUAAAUUUCCUAAAAUUAAAAGUUUAAGGACUAAAGUAAGAGUGCAUCUAUAGUGUAAGGGUUCAAAGUUAAAUUUAACUAAUAGAGUUGUGUCAAUAGAUAUUAGAACCUAAAUUACUGUCAACAAACCUUUAAUUAAGGAGCCAACUAAGAUUUCCUAUCCUUUCCUUCACAAGUAAAUGGAAUUUUUUUUUAACAGGGAAGGGGUGGGUUUUAAGAAGCGGGAAUGAGGUAAAAGAAUGUGAGGUCAGAAUGUCAAAUUUUUUGAAUCUCAACUUUAGUCAUUAGAUCAAAGACCUCCUUGACCAAGUAAAUGAAAGAUGAUGUACUGUUAUAUGCAAAACGUGAGUUGCUUUGAGCAUCACAUUUUAUGGCCGAACUGAAACUUCACAUGCUCAAUACUCAUAGUACUUUUUAAAGAUUUUUGUAGUUAACUUUCCUCAAAUAACAUAAUAAUCUAUUGAACAAUGGCUUAUGUUCAAGGUAAUCGAUUGUAUAUCAACAUGCAAGCAGCAUAAAUGCAAAGUAAAAACAUCAAAUUGCACUUGAAAAACUUCUGCUAAAUAUCAAGCUUUUACAGGGAAAAAACAAGGUUCAACUUCUUAUGAGAACAACGGUACAAGUAUGUGAUACGUGAUUAAGCAAGGAUUCGCACACCACUUAAUUUUUAUUUGUCAGCACUAAGUGGACAAUAAGACGACCAGAGUCGAUAGGAAUGUUAAAACAACACACGCAGAGACGCUAAUAAGUAAUAAGCAGUUGUUGAGUUUCAACCCUACACCAUAUCCUUUCUAGCACCAAUCCAAAGAAGAUCAAUAUGUGUAAUCCAGUGGCACGGUUCACCUUUUCCUGGCGAGAGCUUGAGCAUGUUGAAUGCUGCAUGAUAUGAUGACCACGCGGAGGCAUCCAUAUGACAUAUUGCAAAGAUUGUAUUGACUGGAAUUUUUGUUUUAGGUUCAACUACAUCCACUGCAUAGAUUUCAGUUGAGGAGAGCAUAUGGCAAAAGUAAGUUGAAAAAGGAUGGAAUACCUCGUGACGUGACACAAUUUUUUUUACAUUAAGCUUUUUGAUUUUUUGAAUAAUAAGCUCUUUUCCUGAACCUUCUGUACUUUUAGCAGUCAAUGCAACCAAGCACUUGCUACCUAAUGUAAUCUUUGAGAAUUCAAUCAUGGCCUUGAGGGAUGUAGGACAAUUUUUUACCUCUCCUUUUAAAUCUGUAGAAUUACAAUAAAGAAGUGUAGUUUCAAUAUUCCUUUUGUGUUGGGGUUCACAAAAGAUUGAGGAAGUACUUUCUCAAGCAUAGUAUCAUCUAGAGAAAUUUUGGAUGCAAUUUGAGAAGGAAGAAAUCCAGGUUGAGGAAACUGGUUCUCCAAAUUGGAGAGAUACACUCUAUUUCCUUGUUUAAGAAUGGAGAUUCUAAGCAAGGAAAAAGGGUCAACAUUUUCAAGUCCUGGAGGCGCUUUAUGAAUAUUACAGCCGGCAUUAUUGCCUAAGGAUUUGAUGUUAUUCAUCUCCGCAUAACAAGCUAGAUUUGCAAGACUGCAAAAAUUGGCAUUAGAAGAAAAAGAUAUUUGGAUGCUAAUGAAGUGAAAAAUUCACAGUCAUCUUUAUUGAGUGGAGAUAAUUCAGACAGAAGAGACGUAGGCAUGGUAUUUUGUAUAUUUUGUACAUUUUCAUGCCAAUACUUCAGUUGUUCUGAAGCAAUAGAUGAAAAUGCUGUGCUUUUGGAAAAGCUACAUGCAGCGUAAAUGCUGGCAAUGACGAAAAGAAGCAUAGAAAAACUUAAGUUGGCCAUCAACGUUGGAGAUUUGAUAAGCGAGGAUGAAUGGAGUGGAAUAUAGCUUCAGUUCAUUCGGUAUUUAUAGUCGAACCUUGUUCAACUUUUUCAUAUUUUUCAGAAGACAAAUGAAAACUCUCUAGCCUCAGACGUCUGCCUCAUGUGAAAAGGACAUCAGAAAAGCUAGGAAUUGCCUUAGACAUAAGUGGUAAUAUUUUUAAAUAUUUUAUCGUAGGCAACCUGUUAGCAUGAAAAAUACGCGCAUGGCAGAAGCAAUUUUAACAUGUAUAAAAAUACGUGGAAAGUGGAGGAAAAUAAAUAUAUAAUAAAUACUCAAUAAUUUAUUUAACUCAAUACCCAAUAAUAACAAAUAUCAAGUAGUUUUACUCACGAUAACUCAUAAAUUUCAACUAAGAGACUUUCUCUCAAAGCUAUUCUCAAGAUUCAACUCAUCUCUUUAAAUAACAACCUAUUAGAUUGGUAGUAUUUAUAGACUGCAAAGUUUCCUAAAACAACAAUAAUUGUAAACCAAAACUUAUUUGAAAGUUAACUUGGGAUUUCCUAAUCUAAUGUAGGAACUAAACAAAUAUGGCACCAAAAAUAAUUAGAAAACUAAAUACUAAAAUAAUUUGGUUUAAUUUCUUAUAUUGCCUCCCUUCAACCAAUCUCUUAAUGCUGUCAUCUCUAAUGCCAUCACAAGCUUGAAUCUCCAUGAACGAUUCGAUCGCUCUAUAAAUGACGUAAAUCACCAACUUGUAGUGAAUUUUCAAUUUCAUUUUCAUGUGUGGUAGUGAACAAAACUUGUACUUCUUGAAUAAUUUCUUCGCUUGAUCACUCUUGUCAAAAAAUUUAAACAUAUCCACCCAUUCUUCUUCGCAUACUCCAUAAUUUAAUUUAUCCAUGUCACUAAGAAAAUCUCCCAAUAUAAAAAAUUCAUAAUUCUCACCAUCAAAAUUUUUAACAUCACCAUGUUUUUGUGUUGAUUGGUUUACAUUGACAACUGCAUCAAUCUUAGUAGUAUCACAACCUUCAACCAAAUCGUCCACUUCAUAAUUGAAGUCAACCAAUUCCAUUAUAUGAUUUUUCUCUUCAAAAAUUCAUCAAUCUUGACAAAAUUAACAAUUUCUGCAUCAUCACGAUUUUUAAUCACCUCUUUACUUUGACCAAUGAUUUCAUUUUCUUUCUCAACCACUUGUGAAAUUUCUUGUUGAGUUAUAAAUUCUUCAUCUUCAUGUGUACCCACAACUUCUACAAUUUCUUCUUUCUUUGUCUCAUUAAAAAAUUUUAUUUCUUCUUUUUUUUCUUCGUCACAAAUUUCUUCUUCACCAUGACCAUAGGAAUUUAUCAAAAAUUUCCAAGCCUCCUUUGCUGUUUUUGCAUGUAUGAAUUGUUUCACUACAUGUAACUGGAUUGGACUUGGGUGCCAAACUAGUAGAAUACCCUACAAUUCAAUUGUCUAUUCCUCUCUAAUUGUCUAACUGCAUCGCUUGAUAAUUCUGUACCUGCUAUAGGUUCCGUGAACCCCUUUUGGAUAAUAUUCCAAACUCCAAUAUCUUUGAAAAAAUUCUUCAUCAUCGAUCUCCAAGUCUCAAAAUUGUUUUUACCAUCAAAGAUAAAAAAUAGGAUAAUGUUGUAAAUAAUGCGGAUCCAUAUUUUAAUUAUUUAAUCUCCACUCAAUUUGGACCAAUUCUGUGUCCAAAUUGUCAAAAAUAAAUCUUCUGAUUUUGUGCUCCAAUUUUGCAGACUAGCCCUAGGAUCAAAGCUUAGAGUUUUGAUGCCACUUGUUAGCACGAAAAAUACACGCACGGUGGAAGCAAUUUUAACACAUAUAAAAAUAUGUGGGAAGAUGAAGAGAAUAAAUACACAACAAACACUCAAUAAUUUAUUUAACUCAAUACCCAACAAUCACAAAUAUCAAGUCGUUUCACUAAUGACAACUCAUAAAUCUCAACUAUGAAACUUUCUCUCAAACCUAUUCUCAAGAUUCGACUCAACUUUUCAACUCAACUCUUCAAAUAACAACCUACUACACUGGUAGUAUUUAUAGACAGCAAAGUUUCCUAAAACAACUAUAAUUGCAAACCAACACUUACUUGGAAACUAACUUGAGAUUUCCUAAUCUAAUGUGGAAACUAAACAAAUAUGGCACCAAAAAGAAAUAGAAAACUAAAUACUAAAAUAGUUUGGUUUAAUUUCCUACACAACCUUUUUUUUCAAGCGAAACAAGAAAUUCCUUGUUUUCUUUUUUUUUUUUUUUUCAGUUUUUGACAUACUACUUAUAUUUUGCUGUUUGGAAAACUAAAUAUAUUAUUCCUAGUUUCAUAUCAAGUACUUCUGACAAAUUGCCAUUGGAGAUUUGAGUCCGGCAAUUUUUAGUCAAAUACUUUGGUUUUACUUACCAAUUCAAGUGAGAUGGAUAAAUUUCAUAUUUACUAUAUUUCUUGUUGAUUUCUCUAUGUUGAACUUUAGUUUAGAAACUAUAUCAUCUUUGUAAGCACCAAACUACAAAAUCAAAUAGUAAUCCUUUAUGUUUUUCGUAUCUCUUUGCUAAAGAUCAAUGCACUUACUUAUUUUACAUGUAAAAGUUUAAUUGCCAAAACUUGCAUAAAAUAUGUAUGGCUAGAUUUGAAAAAAGUUCUUGUAGACGAAGAAAAUUUAUUUAAUUUAUUUAAUUUAUUUAGUCAGGAUUUAUUUAAAUUAAAUCGAUCUUGAUUAAAUUAAAUUAAAUUAUAGAAGUCCAUUAUGUUUUGGACUGGCAAAUUGGGUCAAUAUUAUAUGAGCUAUUAAAUCAAAUUAAAUUCAUAAUGUCCAUUUAAGUUAGAGUGAAUUGAUUGCUUUAUUAAUUCACCAUGGACCAUUUGGGUUGGCCCACUAUUUAAACCCAAAUUAAAUGGAUUUCUUUACCCAAAAUGCAGGAAGAUUUCUGGAGGGUUUUCUUGAAGACUUAGCAUACAUAUUUUGGCUAUAAAUAGAGGUCUUCUCUCAAGGCAAAGAUAGACGAGAAAAUUUCAUAACUUUCGAAGAAACUCUGUCAAAUUUUCCCAAAGAGCUUUCUUCCUCCAAUUCAAGUCCAAAUCAAGUCAAACAAAUCCUCCUGCUAUCGGUGUUGAAAACUUAAAGUUCCAAGUGUUUGACGCCAUCAUCAAAUCAAUCGUUUUUUACGUCGAAAUUGUAGAAAACACCCUUUCGAUUGGAGAACAAGUCUUUUCGACCCUUCAAUUGAAGCUAUUCGAAGAAAAGAAUCAGGGGAUUGAUUUCUUUGAUUCAAGAACUUUCAGAGAUUGUAACCCGCUUAUUAUUUGAUUUAAUCAAUUUGAUAUUUGUGCAAGUUUUCUUGUCUUUUAUUUUAGGCAACAAAAUUUGUACUUACAAAUUUCUGGCACGCCCAGUGGGACUAUCUCUGCCUCUCAUCUCUUUUCUUUCAACAACUUAUCAGUUUCAAAAUUCAAUGGAGUUCAAGAAGGUGAACUUUUCUCUUGAAGGCUUAGUUGCUGAUGUCUCAACCACUCAAGAGACGCAGUAAACUGCACCUCUGACAAGGAGUAAGGCCAAGAAAUUAGCAGAGAAGCCAAGGCGAACAUUGUGAUUGAAGAAGCAAACCUCAAGAUGCUUCCCAAUAAGAAAGGAGCCCAUGAUGAAUCUAUUGAUAGCCCAAGUGAUUCGGCUGCCUCUGUGGUGAUGCCCGUCAUGAUGACCAAUAUCGCAACUGUGGAAGAUCAGAUUUCAAAUUUAGCCAAAAUUGUCGAAGGGCUAGUAGUUUGUCAAGAUGCCAAGAUAGUCAAAUUAAUGGCUAUCGUGGAAAAUAUAGGCGAAAAUAGCCUUAGUAUGUCUAAACAGAAAUCCAAAGUGCAAGAUGAAAGUGACUCAUCAUCAAGGGAGAAGGAGAAAGAGGAUGCGAAGUCACAAGCCACGAAAGAAUUUUCAAUCUCCCCUGAUGGCACUAUUCAUGUUGAUAAUCUGAAGAAAUUUAUCGAAGGCACCAUCAAAGACAAGAUUGGUGGAAGUGCCAAGUCAUAUAGCGGUUACACCAAACCUUAUACCGCUAGAGUGGAAAGUUUGAAGAUGCUCAUGGGAUAUCAAUCUCCAAAAUUUCAACAAUUUGAUGGCAAUAGCAACCCUAAGCAGCAUAUUGCACAUUUCGUGGAAACCUGUAACAAUGCUGGCACUGAUGGUGACUUACUCGUUAAGUAGUUUAUUCGCUCGCUGAAGAGUAAUGCCUUUGAUUGGUACACAGAUCUGGAGUCUGGAACCAUUGACAGUUGGGAGCAGCUAGAACAUGAAUUUCUUAGUCGCUUCUAUAGCACAAAGAGAACUGUCAGCAUGACUGAACUCUCUAAUACACGUCAAUGGAAGAAUGAACCUGUCAUUGAUUUCAUCGACCGUUGGAGGAAUCUAAGCUUAAAUUGUAAAGAUCGAAUUUCUGAAUCUUCUGCGAUCGAGAUGUGUAUUCAAGGUAUCCAUUGGGGACUCAGAUACAUCUUACAAGGUGUACAACCAGAAACGUUUGAUGAAUUGUCCACAAAAGCCCACAAGUUGGAAAUUAAUCUUGAUGAACAAGAACCGUCAGUUCCUGACCCUCACAAGGUCAAAGAGAGAUAAGAAGCGAGGAAAGGGGGCAAGCCACCAUUCAAAAAUGAAAAGAAGGAGGCUAUGGCUACAAGUAUAACACCUUUUAAGGUCGUUCCCAAAACUGUCAGGAGAGAAGAUAGGAAGAUCAAUGCACAUCAAGAACAAGGAAAGAGGAAACCGAUUCUCAAAGAGUAUCAUUUCCUUGAUUCUGAUGUCCCUGGUAUGUUUGACGAUCUGUUAAGUAUAAACUUGAUCACGCUUCCUGAGAUGAAGCGACCCGAUGAGGCCAGGAACACUGACGAUCCAAAUUACUUUAAGUAUCACCGAUUGGUUGGGCAUCCCAUUCAAAAAUGCUUUGUCUUCAAAGACAAAGUAAUGAAGUUGGCGAGACAAGGAAAAAUUCUCCUUGAAGAAGACAAGGCAAGUGUGAAUCAAAUGUCCAUUGAUUCUCUGCAGUCUAUGGAGAUUAAAAGGGUCAUGGUCGGUAUUGCCAAUAAUUCAAUUUGGUUCGUUCGAUCCCAUAGAAAUCGAACAAGAAGGUACUCUUUCAACUCUUCAGGAACAUGUCUAUGAAGAUGAGAAGGCAUUACAGCCCGAUGUGGAUGAUGAAGGGUGGACUUUAGUCACGCGAAGAAGGAGGCGAUAAUCUAGUAAGGUGAACAAGGCCUUAACAAGAAGUCUGGUCAUCUGGAAGGGGAAAGAGAAGAAUGUAAAGAGAAACAAUGAUUGUCGCAACCUUCAAGGAAGUCGAAGCUGCAAGCAAAAGUUACGAACUCCUAUCACUCUUAAAAGUGUUCAUACCAAAAGAAUUCUUUGAUGUUGAUGUGGUCGAGAGUCACACAACCUGAGUAGAUCAUGUCAAAAAAUAAAAAGAUAAUACUUGCGAAUCUCUCUGUAAGAUAGCCUGUGUGCCUACCAGCAAUGAAAGAGGUCAUGUGCCCGCUGGCAAUGAAGAAGUGAAUGUCACAAGUAUCACUUUCACUAGUGAAGACUUGUUGCUUGGGUCAACACCGCAUAACCGCCCUUUGUUUGUGACCGGCUAUGCAAAUGAACAAAAAGUGAAUAGAAUUUUGAUAGAUGGAGGUUCUGCAGUCAAUAUUCUUCCCUUCAAGACUCUGAAGGAGCUCGGCAUCCCGGUUGAUGAACUCUUCAACAGCCGAUUGAUGAUUCAAGGUUUUAAUCAAGGAGGGCAAAGAGCUCUUGGAUCACUAAAUUUGGAGAUAGUCAUUGAUGACAUGUCAUCCAGAGCCCUGUUGUAUGUGAUAGAUGCUAAAACAACAUACAAUGUACUACUGGGAAGGCUCUGGAUUCAUGAAAAUGGAGUUGUACCAUCAACUCUUCAUCAAUGUUUCAAGUACUGUCAAAAUGGGGUAGCAAGAAGUGUGAAAGCCGAUGACAAUCUUUUCAUUGAGGCGGAAGCGUAUAUCGCUGAUGCCAAAUUUUACAUCAAAAGGCACAAUGCGAAGGAUAAGUCUGAGCAACCUCUAUCUGUGGAUAAAAUCCAGAACCCCAAAUCUCCGAGUGUAAAAGGGAAAAAACUGAUAAAUUCGAAGUCAAAAGAGGAAGUUCAUGAAGAAACUGAUGUUUCAUUGCCAAACAAUGAAUCAGUUGUCUUUCGUUACCCUUCCAAGUCAAGAAUGAAACAGGAACAGUCACCUGUAAUUCAGCAUAACGCUCUAAGAGAUUUGACUUUUCCGGUAGUUCAUCUUGAUACAAAGAAGGCUUCGUUUCCUCCAUUUAAAAGGUUUAACCUUUUAAACAAAGAAUCUGAAGCCGAACAAGACAUCAUACCAAAGUCAAGAACCAAAGACGAUUUUGAUCCCAUUGCUUAUAAACUUCUCGCUAAGGCUGGAUAUGAUCUCAAAGAAUCUGCUAUGUUAAAUGUUCCAUCUCGUCAAUCUACUAGUGACAUGAUGCAUGGGUUGAAUCCUACCCAAAAAAUGUUGAAGGAAAAAGGAUAUGCCACUGAAAAUUCCAAAUUUGGUCUUGGCUAUUCCUCUCCUACACCAAUCCGCAUCAAGAUCAAUAGAGCUAGUAGUCAAUAUAUUACUGUGGAGGAUGAGUCUUCUCAAAUAGCUGGUAAAUUUCAAACUUUUCACGGAAAGGAGAAUAAAGAUCCACGGGUAUCUGUUUUUAAGAGAUUAGGACCGCAAAGAAAAUAAAAGCCUCAAAACUCUCAUAGGAGUAAAGAAAAAAUGGCAAAAUCAUUGCAAAAUCUUGAAGAAUCUUCUGAUUGUCCUCAUAAAUUUGGUAGCAUCAUUUUCUCGAGAAUGAGAAGAUGCACAGACCUUAUAAUAAAGUGUGGGACUGAAUUAAGGGUCAGGGAGCAUACUGUGGUGUACACAAGACCAAAAGAGAAUGAUGAGGAGAGUGUUGCUUCAUGCAAUCAUAUAACCCUAAUUGGCGGUGACUCUCCUGAAGAAGAAGAAGAUGCUGAAGACGCUCCACCUGAAUUGGAAGAAGGUGUUAAGGCUACUGUGAAAGAUCUAAAGGAAAUCAAUCUUAGUACUUUAGAGGACCUGCGUCCAAUAUACGUAAGUGCUUUAUUGAGCCCCGACAAAGAGAAGGCAUAUAUUGAACUUUUGCGGGAGUAUCAAGAUAUUUUUGCAUGGAUUUAUAAAGAAAUGCCGGGUUUAGACCCAAAAAUGGCCGUCCACCAUUUGGCUGUUAAAAAGGGAGUUCGACCUGUGAAACAGGCACAACGGAGGUUUAGACCCGAUUUGAUUCCGUUGAUCGAAAUUGAAGUCAAUAAACUUAUUGAACCCGGGUUUAUUCGUGAAGUUAAAUAUCCCACAUGGAUUUCGAGUAUCGUGCCUGUGCAAAAGAAGAAUGGACAAAUCCGCAUCUGCGUCGACUUCAGGGAUCUUAACAAUGCUUGUCCCAAGGAUGACUUUCCUUUAUCGAUUACUGAACUCAUGAUUGAUGCAACUACUGGACAUGAAAUUCUGUCAUUUAUGGAUGGCUCUUCAGGAUAUAAUCAAAUUCGACUGGCACCUGAGGAUGAGGAACUCACUGCAUUUCGUACUCCUAAGGGUAUUGAUUGUUAUAAAGUAAUGCCCUUUGGUCUAAAAAAUGUUGGAGCCACAUAUCAAAGAGCAAUGCAAAACAUCUUUGACGACAUGCUUCAUAAAAAUAUCGAGUGUUAUGUGGAUGAUUUAGUCGUUAAAUCAAAGAAAAGAAGUAAUCACUUGGAGGGCUUGAGACAAGUUUUUGAUCGAUUGAGAAGGUAUCAACUCAAAAUGAACUCUCUCAAGUGUGCAUUUGGAGUCACGUCCGGAAAAUUUCUUGGUUUUGUGGUUCGCCAUCGAGGUAUUGAAAUUGAUCAGGCCAAAAUUGAUGCUAUAUUGAGAAUGCCUGAAUCUCGUAACAUUCAUGAAUUGAAAAGUCUUCAAGGGCGAUUAGCUUAUCUGCGAAAAUUUAUCUCAAAUUUGGCAGGAAGGUGUCAACCAUUUAGUCGCUUGAUGAAGAAAUAUGUGCCAUUUCAAUGGGAUGAGACAUGUAGUAAUGCAUUCAAUAGCAUUAAGUUUUAUCUUAUGAAAGCACCUGUUCUGGCUGCACCUAUUCAUGGAAAGCCAUUACUUCUUUACAUUGCUGCUCAGGAACGCUCAGUGGAGGCAUUGCUUGCACAAGAAAAUAAUGAAGGAAAAGAGGUUGCCCUUUAUUAUUUAAGCAGAAUGUGACCCCUAAUGAACUAAAUUACUCGCCGAUUGAAAAGUUGUGUUUAGCUCUUAUUUUUGCAAUACAGAAGUUAAAACACUAUUUUCAAGCACAUAGUGUGAGGCUCAUUUCUAGGGCGAAUCCCAUGAAAUAUGUGAUGAGCAGGCCAGUAUUAUCCGACCAUUUAGCUAGAUGGUAUCUCCAUCUACAACAGUUUGAGAUUAUUUAUAUGCCUCAAAAAGCUGUGAAAGGACAAGUUCUGGCGGAUUUUCUUGCUGAUCACCCUAUACCUGCUGAAUAGGAGUUAAGUGAUGACCUACCAGAUGAGGAUGUACUCCUUAUUAAGAUUCGCCCACCAUGAAAAAUGUAUUUUUAUGAUGCUGCACAUCGUCAUAGGGGUGGAGCGGGGAUUGUAUUCAUGACUCCUGAUGGAGGGAUAUUGUUAUACUCUUUUACCCUAAAUCAACAUUGUUCAAACAAUGUCGCUGAGUACCAAGCUCUCAUACUCAAACUUGAAAUAGCUGUUGACAUGGAGCAGUUGGAACUUCAAAUCUAUGGUGGCUCUCAAUUGGUGGUUAACCAACUCUUGGAAAGUUAUGAAGUCAAAAAGUUCGAAUUAAUUCCGUAUCACAAAUAUGCAACACGACUUAUGAAGCGGCUUGGAGGUGCAAGUAUUAAACAUGUUCCUAGAAGGGAAAAUAAGCAAGCUGAUGCAUUAGCUGUGCUAGCCUCUUCACUUGCCAUGCCGGAUCAUGAGAUACAAGUUCAUGUAUGCCAAAAGUGGGUAGUUCCAUCACUAAUUGAUAAUGAAAAUAUUGAAGGAGGCGACGCUCAUGUGGUCUCAACCUGUUAAAUUGACAAAGAAAAUUGGAGACAACCUCUCGUUCAUUAUCUCAAGUAUCAAAAAUUACCUGAGUAGCAACGUAGGAGAACUAACAUCCGUCGUCGUGCCUCUUGUUUUAUCUUGUACAAGGAUACGCUGUACCGAAGAUCAUUUGAAGGUGUACUGUUGCACUGUCUAAGCGAAGACGAGACAUAUCGGGCGAUGCACGAGGCACAUUCUGGAAUAUAUGGAGCUCACCAAUCCGGUCCCAAGUUACAUUUUCGGAUUAAAAGGAUGGGCUACUAUUGGCCUACUAUGGUCAAAGAUUGCAUAGAAUAUGCUCAAAGAUGUCAAAUUUGCCAGUUUCAUGCAAAUUACAUUCAUCAACCACCUGAGCCGUUACACCCGACCGUUGCCUCUUGGCCUUUUGAUGCUUGGGGCCUUGAUGUUAUGGAGCCAUUACCAAAGUCGUCUGGUCAACACUUAUAUAUAUUGGUUACGACCGACUACUUUUCUAAGUGGACUGAAGCCAUACCGCUCAAGCAAGUUAGAAAAGAAGAUGUGAAUUUUAUUCGUGUGAAUAUUAUUUACCGUUAUGGAGUUCCUCGAUACAUUAUCACUGAUAAUGAAAAAUCCUUCUCCAAUACCUUGAUGGAUAAGUUGUGUGAAAAAUUUAAUCUCAAGCAAUGCAAGUCUUCCAUGUAUAAUGCCCCCGCCAAUGGUUUCGCAGAGGCAUUCAACAAAACUUUGUGUAAUUUGUUGAAGAAAGUGGUGGCCAAAUCAAAAAAAGAUUGGCACAAAAGAAUAGGCGAAACUCUUUGGGCCUAUUGUACCACAUACCGAACUCCAACGCAAGCCACACCAUAUGCCUUAGUCUAUGGUGUAGAAGCUGUUCUGCCCCUUGAGAAAUUCCUUCUUUGAGAAUUGCUAUCUAAGAAGAGCUCACGGAGGGAGAAAAUGUUCGCCUGCGCCUUGAAGAAUUGGAAGCUUUAGAUGAAAAGAGAUUAGAGAUCCAACAAAAUCUGGAAUGCUAUCAAGCUCGUCUCUCUAGAGCCUUCAAUAAGAAAGUUCGGCGCCGCUCCUUUCAAGUUGGGGACAUGGUACUUGCCGUUCGAAGGCUAAUAGUUAUGACUCAUCACACUAAGGACAAAUUUGUCUCUAAAUGGGAUGGGCCAUAUAUUGUUCGAGAAGUCUAUACAAAUGGCGCGUAUAAACUGGUGGACAAAGAUGGUGUAAAAGUUGAUCCUAUAAAUGAAAAAUUCAUGAAGUUAUACAUGCCAUAAAAAAAAUGAAGCACUCCAUGACGCAUGAGUCUAAACUGCAUGUUGCUCCAGACCAGCAUGAGCUAAAACUGUGGACAACAACCACCAAUAGUGUAGCACGUGGUUAAACUGCUGAAACACUCCACCAAAUCUAAGGUGGUAAACAAAAGGAUACUCCUGACCCGCAAGAGUUUAAACUGUGAACGGUAGGAAUUACGUGUGACUUGAUUCCCUUUUGGGAUACGUAGGCAGUUUAGAAGGUAUCUUCUAAAUUCAGUUACAACCCUAUAAAACUAAAGUCUUUGUCUGGAUGAUUCUUUUGAUAAAAAAAAAGAGAACGUUCAUCUUUAGGACAGUUCGAAUUAUUUUGUGACAUAUACUUGAAAGUGUAUUAUUCAGAUUACCAAAUUAUUUGGAUAAUUACCUUUUCAGGUGUGAUCAAAAUUAUGCAAAGGUGAAAUUAUUCAUACUAUGGUUGAUAGCCUAAAAUGGUGGCUAUCGAAAGAGUAAGUAAGGACGAGGGCGUCUGCAAGAAUGUGAUGAAAAGAAAAAAAAUCAAGUUUCAUUAUGAAGUGCUUGUACUCAUAGCUACACGCUUUGAGCAAUUAACAAAAGAUGAAAUUUGAAACAAAGUAAAAGAUUGCAACUAUUCCUAAAAUUCAAAUGAUGACAGCUUGUUUUCAAAUAAUACUUGCAUCUUGUCCAAAGUUUGACUCUUCUCAGCAAGUAGGGGAGGGGAAUUCUCAAUUUUUCGAAUUUCAUUUUAUAAGUCGACCAUCACGCCUUGCACCCGGGUAAGUUCAUCUUGCUCUUCUCGUAGUAGUGAAAGCGUCUCCUCCUGUGAGUAUCCAAGCACUCAAGUCGCUUCUUCAACAUUACUUCCUCACGAUCAAUCUCCUUAAGUUUCAACAUGUGCAUUGAGAUCUUUUUCGCUUGUUGUUUCUCCUUACUCUGAGCAUCUUUAAGAUGUCGAAUGGCCGUAGAAAGUAACUCAUCAUAUGAUUCAGUUGAAAUUUUAUUUGAGAGAGAAGAUUUCACUGUCACGUAACGAGCUGCAUUUGCAAAGAAAGUCUUUAAAAGGCCUUGCAAAUUUGAGAUAUCCGUGGCAUUAAAGCUUUGCAUUUCCUCCAUGAUCUCAUUGGCUUUCAUUUCAAGAGCAGGCAUGCGCUCUAAGGCUGUUUGAGAUAUCAUCAUCCUCAAGUUAUUCCACAACAUUUGGAUAUAGUCUCGGCGACAUGUUGAAAUCACACUUUGGGGGCAAAAUUCAGACACUUCAGGUGCCCUUAGCCACGAUGGUGGAUCGAAAACAGUUUUCUUUUGGCCGAUGGAGUCAUAUGCUCCGCCUUCUGUGCCAUGAUUUGCUGAGUCACAUUUUCAUCCUCUACUGUCUUUUUGGAAUUCUCACUAGCACCUUUUUGUUGAGUAGAACUGAUCACUUGUUUGGCCAAAAGUUCAAAUGCAGUAGGUCCUUCAACUGAUACUUGACUUGGUUCUCCAUCAUCAAUGAAGAUCAAGUCUUGAUCGUCCAACUGUAGGGAAAAUGUUGUGAGACAAAUCAUGAAUAUGAAAUUAACAAAAAAAUUUCAAAUGCUAGAUUAAAGAAGGCAGGGAGGGUCCUUACAAUAUUGGCACGGCUUAUACCAGGCACAGAUAUAUUCGGAAUGUCUUUAAAGAGUUCUUUAGGAUCUAAACCAAUAUCAUCCAAGGGGAGAGUCAUUACCUUGGACUUCUUGCGUUUUCAAUGCUGAUCCGUGCUGGUGGAUUGCUCAUCCUCCUCAUUAGAAGGCUCGCUCCACUUCUUCUCAUGUGAACUGCAAGAAUUAUGAUCAAUAGCCUUCACAAUGUUUGAAAGAAGAUAAAAUGAAGUACCCUUCGAAAAUUCUUCAUUAGGAGUAAGGUUCUCAGGGAUAGUAGCCUUGUUGUUUGAACUCUUCAAAAUUUCUUUCUCACUUCUCAUAGUCUUUUGCUUCAUCUCAAGACUAUUGCCAACCUUGGAAGGAUUGUUUAGGUUUGCAAGUUCCUUCCCUUUCGACUUCUUCUGCUCCCCAUUUGAUUGGACACUCUUAAUCAAAGUAUCACACCCUUUGAGGAGAUGAUCAUCAUGCACCAUAGCCCACCAUGUUUGAAAGCCUGAAGAUGUGUGUUUGCUAACAUUCAAGGGAUAGCUAAGGAAAAGUACCUUUGACUCUGUUUUACUGCGAAUGGCAGUGCGCCAGAGUAUUCGACUCAAGUCAUAACUUGUGAAACGAACAUCUGCCUUGAGUUCCUGUGGAGGAACUUGAUAAAAACCGAAUUUCUGCGCAAAUCUAUAUGGACUAUAUGGCUCAAUAAGGAAAUCCCCUUCAGCAUGCAAAACUAAGUAAUUUGAGCAGGCGCUUACAAAAUAAUUUAGUUCGAGAUUUGCUAAUUUGUCAUUGUCAAUGAAAAGCUCAUUGCGAUUUUUCACAAGAGAAGUGAUUCCCCAAGUUGCUUUGUCUCCCUGAUGAAUGAGGUCACGAGCACUAUUUUCAUCAAAAUACCGUGCGCCACCUUCUCCAGAAUAGUUGGUCAUGGUGGGUCCAGGCAUGGCAUUUGGAGUCGAAUAAUGGGUAGAGAAAUAAUUCGCUAACCAAGCAUGUACAUAGUGCACCGGAAAAGCAGCACGUGCACACCCUGGAGUAGGUGAGUUUGAAAUAUUGUUAAGCCCACGGUAUAUGUUUAGCAGGACAGGAACAGCAAGGCAGGUCUUACGACCGGCAGCCAUCGUACUAGCCAUUUUGAAAGUAGAUGGUCUAAUAUGAUGGAGCUCCUCAUCUGGUAAAGCAAAGACACAGAGCCAACAAGAUAUAAAUGUUGCAAGAUAGGUCUCUUCCCGCAAGUGGAGUUUAACUCCGAUGGUGUCAAAUACGCCAUUGUCUUGACUUGAAAAUUUGCGUGGUUGUCCAAUUUCGCCAUCCGGAUUUUGGGUCGUUUGAGCACGAGAUGCCCUCUUUAUCCUUCUCUGCUUUGGCUUUGAAUACCUGAUUUUGCCUUUAAACCAGAACUUAAUCCAUUGGGCAGUAGAAACUCCAACUUUGUUGGAUUCCUCAUGUUGAAGAUGAUGUAAGGCUGCGAACAAAUAUUCGCAACUUUGUGGAAUAUGCCUUAAUUUCUUCUCAUUUACUCCAGUUAGCUCCUCCGCGCAUGGGAUUAUCUCUUCAUAGAUACCUCCGAUGAUUGGAAGUCCUCCUAACUUGUGCAGGUCCCAAAGUGAGAGAGACAAUUCCCCGACAGAUGUAUGCAAGGUAUUAGUGUCCGAGCACCACGUCUCGCAGAAUGCUCUAAGUACAUGGGGAUUCCUAUCAUAUGUGAAAAGUGAAGCAUAUAAGGCGUCAAACAAGUAAUUUGCACGGAGCACUUGUUUGCUCCUGCCGAGAAUAUCCUCCAACCACUCCCAGUAAUUCUCGAUGUAACUGAAUGCACCAUUAAGUCUCAAGGAAGGACCCCAGUGUGCACCUCCGUCUAUGAUCCGCCUGCCAAGGGUUUGAAAAGGAGUUGUCCUUGGCUCCUUAUCAUGAAUAAGGGAUUUUAAGGAGUGAACCUUUGUGCCAUCAUCUUGAGAAAGCUCGAGUGACCAAUCCUUCAACUCUGGGUACUGGUGAGAAGGCCACUUACCCGAGUAAGAUCCUUGUAUAGGGGUAUGCACCAAUAAUUUCGUUCUUUUGUCAUCAGAGUCGUCAUGACUAUUGGCGAUAAGGAGGUACCUUUCGUUUGAAGUGGUAACUUCCUUGAAUAUUGCCAUUUCGUCAAGGCUAACCUGCAUAAAAAAAAGGGGUUACGAUGGUGCGAUCAAAGAUAGUAAGUGAAGUACUAAGUCGUUAGAAUAGGAUAAAUAAAGAGAUUUCUAGGGCGCUGGUAAGCUCUUGUUGAGGUGGACAUUUGCGCCUCCUUUAUAUACUCCUCAAGCCAUAAUAUGGCUCUCGUGGGAGUUUGCGGUUGCGCCUUCUUCAAAUCUUAGUCGCACCUUCUUCACGUACUCCUUAAGCCAUAAUAUGGCUCUCGUGGGAGUUUGCGGUUGCGCCUUCUUCAAAUCUUAGUCGCACCUUCUUCAUGUACUCCUCAAGCCAUAAUAUGGCUCUCGUGGGAGUUUGCGGUUGCACCUUCUUCAAAUUGAGGGUCCACCGUGUGUGUUGUCGCAAAGGAUCCUCUUCUCAUAUCACAAAAAAAUAAAAUAAAAUUGACAUUGACAAGAAAUAAAAGCCAUAAGGUAUGUGAAUUACCUUAGCGUUUUGACCUCCAAGAGCUAUGGUCCUAAAAUUGUGGACACAAUUGGAACGUCAAUUUGCUUCAAACAAGCUAUGCCAACGUCAACUGCAAAAAAAAAAAGAAAAAAAGAAGUGACGUGUGGCAUGCAAUGGCGGGACAAGUUCUUAUGGUGGGCCAUGCUUAUCUUUAAUAUCAAGUACGGCAUUAUUUAGUCACUGUGGUGGGUGAUGUUCCCUUCUUAUCACACGAAGUCAAAAAAAAAAAAAAGGAGGAAGAAAAAUCAUCAACGACAAAUCUUGCCUUGCUUCGCAAGAACAGACAUUCAAGAGAAAGACGUGGCGUGGGGCAUGUGUUGCUCUAACCAAUUAACAUCAGCAAAAUUGCAUGCAAAUAACUUCAAUUGCAAUUUAAAUAAAGAAGCAGUAUGGACCUGGCCGCGAAUCAAGAAGGCCAUGGUAUGCAGCAAUGGAAAGAAAAUGUGUGCACUUUGCAUGCAAGAGAGUAAUUAGAGCUUAAAGUUUCUUGGCCCCGAAUUCAAUUGUUAAUCUAUGCCCAUUAAAUUUCAAAAGAGCAUUUAGAUGUCAACAAUUUGGGGACACUAAUAAAACCCGAGUUCGAAAAUUUCAAUCCUACAAGCAUAGCAAUCAUUGAUUAUUUUAUGAAAGUUUGUCCGCUUAAUUUGAGGCAACAAACUGUCACCUAGUUUCACUGGAAGACAAAAUUUCAGUUUGGUUCAUGGCUCAAUUCGGCGAAUUUCGAUUCGGCAAAGUGACUUAUAGAGACUCAACAUUUAAGCAAGAGUGAAGAUGGGUGAUACCUGAGUAAUGCGAGGCCUACUUGUGGUGAAGGCUAAUAUCUUGGUGCUUGCAACCCGAGUUACUUGGAGUUAUGUGGAAGUCAAGAAUGUUUAUAGCUUGGUGAUUCAAUCUUGAAGGCUUUUGUGAUCACCGUAGGCUUGAUUUAAGGUAAGUUGAUGAUUUCGGAAACCAAGGUUCGAUGCAUGUUUUCGGGCAAGUUCUAGUUGUUUUAAAAAUCGUGCAACUUGGAAAUACGAGUUCGAUAGCUAAUUUAGAAGUUACAUGUUGACUUCAAAGAAUUUAUAAUGGAGCUAGAAAGCUAUUGAAACUCGCGAACCUAAGUUGAUUAAUUGGUUUUGGCAAUUCCAGAUUAAUGAGCAGUGAUUGCGUGGAAAAGGUAAUUGCCUAGGUGUUGGUUUGAGCAAUUACUUUUUCUUAGCAACAUAAAGUUUGGACAUCUAAUGGUUUGCCGCAUCAUGGAAUAUGGAAAUGAUUGAAAGUGGUAUCUUUCUAAUUCUCUUGGAAUCAAUUGCAAGUCAAAAGGGAAGUGGUCUUUUGAUUCCUUAAAGGUUGAAGCCACGGGAAUCAUUAUUCUAUGCCCAAAUCAACUUGAGUACAAAGCCACACCACGAGAAUUUUAGCAACUUGGAUCCAAUUUCCAAACGAAGCAAUGCCAAAGGAAUUCCAAAUUGCUCAGCUUCAAGACGAAAAAAAGAAAAGAGAAAUGAAUGUAACUUGGAUCCAAUUUCCAAACGAAGCAAUGCCAAAGGAAUUCCGAAUUGCUCAGCUUCAAGUCUGCCACAUGUAAUUUUGAGUGCCGAAGUGUGAAGACAUUUCCUAAUCUUUGCACCACGUUUCGGCUCUCUAAAGUGGAAGUUUCAUGAUAAGUAUUGAAUGAGAAAUUUCCACCGAACAAAUUGGUAGCCAUGCUUUGAUUAUUAAAUGUUUAGGCGGUGCAAUGGUCAUAGAAGGACUCCUAAUGCAAAUAAAGCAACAUUGAAGUUGCUUAAAGUGAAAUUAAAUGAACAGCGCCUACUAGAACUUCCAGGUGAAGAAUGUCUAUGGUGCAAAGUCUUCGAGGGACACGGGACCAUUCUUGUCGGAAUAAAAUCGAUUGGAACGUUUGAGCUUUAAUGUUUGGUGUCUUUAAUGUAUUGCAACUUUAAGUUAAUGGUAGUCACUUGGACUAGUCUCCAAUGGAAUUCCAAAGACCAACAGAGCAGCAAUUCGGGCAAUACAAUUGGCUUUGGCAAUUGCCAAGCCAUUGAGUUUCGAGACUAAUUGCAACAAUUGCAUUGUAAUGACAUGGGGAAUAAUCCUAUGCAUCACACUUUGCCGUAGACCACAUGUAAUUCGUGAAUGGUGUAGACUUUUUUUAUGAUCUUCGAUCACAUGUAUUAACCCAGGCUCUUGUUGCUCGCCCACCAAAUCGGCAAAGGAAUUGGCUUCUUGAAAAAAAAAAAAUCAAGUACUUCAAGUCUCAAUUACAUCCUUGACAAGCAAGUCCCAAUUGAGUCUUGAAGUGGGGGCAUUUGUAGACGAAGAAAAUUUAUUUAAUUUAGUCAAGAUUUAUUUAAAUUAAAUCGAUCUUGAUUAAAUUAAAUUAAAUUAUAGAAGUCUAUUAUGUUUUGGACGGGCAAAUUGAGUCAAUAUUAUAUGGGCUAUUAAAUCAAAUUAAAUUCAUAAUGUCCAUUUAAGUUAGAGUGAAUUGAUUGCUUUAUUAAUUCACCAUGGACCAUUUGGGUUGGCCCACUAUUUAAGUCCAAAUUAAAUGGGUUUCUUGAGUUACAAGUUACCCAAAAUGCAGGAAGAUUUCUGGAGGGUUUUCUUGAAGACUUAGCCUACAUAUUUUGGCUAUAAAUAGAGGUAUUCUCUCAAGGCAAAGAUAGUCGAGAAAAAUUCAUAACUUUCGAAGAAACUCUGUCAAAUUUUUCCAAAGAGCUUUCUUCCCCCAAUUCAAGUCCAAAUCAAGUCAAACAAAUCCUCCUGCUAUCGGUGUUGAAGACUUAAAGUUCCAAGUGUUUGACGCCAUCAUCAAAUCAAUUGUUUUCUACGCUGAAAUUGUAGGAAACACCCUUUCGAUUGGAGAACAAGUCUUUUCGGCCCUUCAAUUGAAGCUAUUCGAAGAAAAGAAUCAAGGGAUUGAUUUCUUUGAUUCAAGAACUUUCAGAGAUUGUAACCCGCUUAUUAUUUGAUUUAAUCAAUUUGAUAUUUGUGCAAGUUUUCUUGUCUUUUAUUUUAGGCAACAAAAUUUGUGCUUACAGUUCUAAACAAGAAUGAACAUGAUGGAAAAGAUAAACUCAAAGGAAAUGAUGCAAUGAGACAAGGUAGAUGCAGAACCUUUUUCUACCAAACUUUCAGGCAACCCUUCCUUUACCUCUCUCCAUGUGUAGCUCAGUUCUUCAGGUUUAUAAGCUUGUUCUAUUUUUUGGGAAACAUCACAAGAUUAAGAUGCCAAAGCUGUACUCUUUAAACCAAAAAUGACUGAGCAUUUCUGUACCUUUUGCAUUCUAAACCCUGCUUGAAUCAAUGCAAUCAACUAUCAAAUUGGUAUUUCACAAACUAAUGACACGUAAGAACAAAUGAGUUUUUGUUCAACUAAACCAAAUUUGGAGUCUAAAUUAAAACAAUUAAUUUGAUAUGAAAAGAGUAAAAUUGUAUUGUGCAAGUUGUAUGUGUUAUACAACAAUAGUUGGUCAUGUAAAUCAGUAGUGAAAAUAAUGAUACUUGUGAAGAGAAGAAGGAAUAUUGUGGUCGAUCUAAGAAGUGGCUGAGCACAAAAAACAAAAAAAUGUAGCUGAGGAUUCUUUUUUAUUCUUUUAAUAACGUAAUUUGUCAGAUUAGACUUAUGACUUUACUUAAUGAUAUAGCAUUAACAUCUCCUUUGUCCCUAAUGUUUUAUCGUAAUUAUCUGAAAUAAAAAGUCUAUAGGAUAGACAACUAGCGAAAGCCAAAAGCUCUUUCUACGUAUAUUCUUCUAGUCCUCGGAUAUGUGAAUGUUAUAUAUAAUCUUGCAAUCACUAGAGCUAGAAAGUUAUUGUAAAUGAAUUCAAGGAGAAAGUAAAGAAAAAGAAGUAAAAACAAGUGUAGUUAAAUCAGGAACUUGGUAAUUAAAUAUUAAUGCCCCAAUGAAAUUUUGCAAGUUUCACUGGAUUAAAACUUUUUAAAAAAAUGUUUUCUCCCCAUUUUGUGUAUAGGACAAUUUUCUAGCUUCCUCUUUUGUACUUUUCCUUCAUUUCCUUCAUUAGAAGAAAUGUUUCCCUCCUAAAUAGAGAAUUAGAGCCAAAGUUAGUCUUACAAUCAUUUAUUUAGUUAUACCAAAUUUCUUUUGAAUUCCCUCCUCCCAAUCUGCUGGAAAAUAGUUUAUUUUUUCCCUCUUAUAAAGAUUAUGUCCCUCCUAAAUUAAUAGAGAGUGUCGCUUAUUGGAGCCAAAGGUCAUAGAAAAAAGCCUCUUAAUAGUCAUAAUCAAAUUGACCAAUUUGAUUACCUCCCAAAUUACCCAUGUCAAUUAGUUUUACUUCCUCUUUUUUUUUUUUUUAUAAAUAUUAAUUCCUUCUUAAAUUAAUUGAGAAUAUUGCUUAUUGGAGCCAAAGUUCAUAAGAAAAAGUCUCUUUUAAGUGUCAAAAUUAAGUUCUUAAUAAGACAGUAGAGCUACUUUUAAGUGUCCAAGUGUGCAAAAUCCAGUCAUGGAAAAGCCCCUAUUAUCCUUCGUUUAUCCAUUUACAUUUCUUGGCAGAUGGAGAUGUUUUGCUCCAUGGUUGUUAGCUUAUGACAUUUGAUAUUUUUGUCUAUACUAUACUAUUAGGCUGCUAUGGAUUAAGGGAUUUGAUGAAAGAUUUAAUUUCACUCAAAUCUUUCUAGUUGUUUAGAUUACUUAGGAGGUAUUUGGAUGUAAAUCAUUAAUUAGUAUAGUAUUUAAAAUGUAUUUAGAUAGUUGAUGAAUUACAAAUCCAAAAUAUCACCUAAACAAUUUAAACAAUUCAAACAAUUUGGAUAGAUUUCAAAUAGUUCAUAAAAUUUCUCAAUCCAAACUAAGCCUCCUAUAAUUUUGUGAAUACUAUGUUGAUAUUUGUUUAUAAGAUACGGACAUAUAAUCCAAUGGAGACUUAUGCAAGAGAAAUAGCAAUGUCAUGAGGUAAGUCCUUUUUUCUUUUGUUGCUGUAAAACAAGUAAUUUAUAUGUGUUUAGCAAUUUUUUUUUGUUCUUUCUACAUAAAAUACCAUAAUCAACUUCCUUCACGGUAUUCAAUUAUAUCUAUGUAUAUUUUUAGUUGGUUUGGUACUCUUAUAUAUAAUUACAUGUUGACAACUUAGGUUCGUGAGUUUUAUGGAUCAAGUUAGUAGCCAAACAAGCCAAAACUCUCGAACUUAAACUCGAACUUAUCCUUUAAAUAUACUAAAAAAAUGUCUUCAAAAUAAAAAUGUUUGUUCGUUCAAAAUCAAAUGUCUGUUCGUUUACAGCCAGAUAUCCGUCACUAAAAAUUUUCUUCACAUAUUUUUAGUUUGUUUCAGUACUGGCUCCAUUUUGCUUUACAAACAUACAAAUCUAGUGUACAGCACUUGGGAUCCUCGGUGACAUGUUUUCUAUGCCAAUCCAAUACCACCUAUAAUAUUGUGCCAAGUGUCCUAUUAUUAUUUACACUUGUGUUAAACCAAAUCAAGUUGAAUUAUUAAAAAAUUAAAGUGUAAAUAAUAACAGGACACUUGACGCAAUACUAUAGGUGACAUUGGAUUGGUAUAGAAAAAUAUGUCACCGAGGAUUGGCAAUAAGUGUACAGACAUAUAUUAAUAUAACUGCAAAAACUUGGAUGGGCCCGGUCUAUGAACGACUUAUGGACCCUGUGGAUUUUAAACAGCCAGUCGCUCUUUGUAACCAAAGUUAAGCAGAGUUCCGUUCUUGUCUGCUUCAACAAAAGGAAUGAAAACGAAAAGGCCGUAAAGAAACCUAGCUUUGGAGAAAUAAACCCAACUAUUCUCCAGAUUUAAAUUUUCUCCUCAUUCAUCAAGUUUCUUCUGGAAAGCAAUAGAAGAGAGUUUAGGCAAAUUAAAUUACAUAAAUUAGAUACUUCUUUGGGCUUUGCUGUGUUUAUGGAGAAGAUCAAUUAGAGGGAGAAAGAAAAAAAUAAAAACUUUGAGAGAUUGUGAAGAAACAAAAUCGUCAAGGGGAAUGCAGAUUGCCAUAUGAGAUACUUCCAAGUGAGUAUCACAAAGAUGUAUACAUAAUUAUUUACACAUCUAAUAUUUCUUAUGACUUUGCUUCCUUUUUUUUUCAUCAAGAGACAAAAUUUAGCCUUUUAGCAUUAGUAAUUGCAAGGCCCCCCACGGAUCUCGUUAAUUUUGCAUCAGAUCUAGUUACAAGAUUAAUAAUUAGUUAUAGUGUAUUUUCUUCUGUUUUGAUUUUGCUUUGAAACACAAGAAAAUUUUAUCCAUUAAAAAGGUUCAACUUAUGUUCUUUUUCUCUUUGAUUUUUCCUUUUUUCAGAUUAUGAUAGUGAGAUGAAGUUGUCAAUCCGGCAUGAUGAAGAUUGAGUAUGCACGGAAAGACUCUUCUGGACAAAUCUUAGAAGACUUUGUUGCAUCAUAAAAUUGUAAAUUUUGAGGAUUUUUUUUGGAAAAAUUAUUCAAAACGUCCCUUAUAUUUUAUAAAAUUAUUUUUUUGUUCCUUAUUUUUAAAAGUGUAAUUUUGGUAUCCCUUACAAAUUCAUAUUGGUUAAAUUUGGUCCCUACCUAAAUCUCUAACUAAUUUUUGAUCGGAAUCCACCAUGUACCUUGCACGUGAUCAUUUUUUAGGGGAUAAAUUGUCAAAUCACAUUUCACAUAAUCUUAUUCAUAGUCUCCCAUAUUUCAUAAAAUAAUUUUUUGUAUUCCUCAUAUUUCACAAAAUGAGUUUUGUCAUACCUCACAUUUCACAAAAUGAAAUUUUCAUCCCUCACUAAUAGCUUUAUUGUAUUUUGAUGCCAUAUUCUCAAUUGCACAUGGUGGAUUAGGCAAAAAAAACUAGUCAAAAAUCUAUUUAAGGACAAAAUUUGACCAAUAUAAAUUUGUAAGAGACAUAAAAUUACACUUUUAAAAGUGAGGAACGAAAAAAAUUAAUUUGCAAAAUGUGAGAGAUGUUUUGAAAUUUUUUUUUAUUGGAUUUGGCUUUGAAUUAUCUAUGGGUUUGUGUUGGGAAAUUAGGAAACUUGGGUAUCUAGAGAAUUUUGGGUUUGGGUUUGGGUUUGGCUUGUGUAUGAGUAAUCAUGUGGCUUGCUGAAGAUUUGACAUUCAUUCAAGUUGAAGUGGAAGAAUUUUAUGCAUGACUUGUUUAUUUUUCAAAAAAGUGGUCUUCUGCUAUCUAAAGUAAUUAAGUUCGUGUCUUCCUUUCAAGCAUUCAUUGCGAGCGUGCUAUGUUAUGUAACCAUGGACGGUGAAUGGAGAAAGUGAGAAGCAUUUGUUCAAGGCUAAGAAGCAAGAGUUUGGCGUGGCUGAUUAACAAGCAGAAGAUCCGUGGGUGGGGCCCUGGACCAGGUUCAUCCAAGUUUUUGCCAUAUAUAAUAAUACACUUAUGGUUAGGGGUGGCAAUUUUCGACACGACCUGAAAACAUGACAUGAAUCUAACACGAAAUUAAUGGGUUUGGAUUGAAAUUUCGUGGGUUCGGGUCAGAAUCGAGUUGAACCUGAAAAGAAAACGGGUCGAAUUCGGGUCAAUCCGUGGGUAAUCCAAUAUGACCCAAUAAUCUGUUUACGAAUUAAAAAUAAUUUAAUAAACAAAAAAAUUAUUUUAUCUAACUAAACUAAGUUAUUCUUUUUUUCCAAAGGUAUUAAUCACUUAAUCCUAAAUGAAUUUAUUUGACUUGUGUGAAGUUGAAAUUAUUAUAUUUGGACAAAUAAUGUAUUAUAUUAUUUUUUACUUUUAUACUGUUUUAAUUUAUUUUAUAUUUGGUUUGGGAUAAAACACUUUUACGAUGUUUUAAUUUAUUUUAGAUUUGGUUUGAAAUUAUUUAUUUAAAAUUUUAUUACUUGAUUAUGUAAUUAAUCUUGUACGAAAUUGGUUUUAUUAGAAAUUACAGUGGUAAAUUAAUAAAUUAAAUUAAGUUUCGGGUCAUUUCGGAUCGAUCCACUAACCCGAAAAUUUUGGAUUUGGGUUUGGUAUCCUGACCCAUUUCGAGUUGGCAAGUCAGGUUUGAAUCAGCGAGUUUUCUGUUAUUCUCGGAUCUCAACCUGACCUGUCAACCCAAUUUAGACCCGAUUGCUACCCCUAUUUAUGGCGCUUGCAAAAACCACUUGCCCGACAAAUUUGAAACUUUGAACUUUCUCUGCCCUUCUGCCCAUUUGGCGUUUCUUAUAAUCCAAGACAGUUUUUUGGAGCCCCCUUUUUAAGUUCGUUUGGAGCCAUUGAAUCUAGUAGAUUGAAUCAUUUCUGUCUGCUAGUCCCAUUUGGCCUUUCUCAGUUAAGUUGAUGUGACUAUCAGUUCAGGUUUUCAUCAUCUUUAUGCUCAAGCAAAUGGGAUUUUGGUCAAGUGUGAACUUCAUGAAUUUAUGCACACAAGUGUCUCGUUCUGUAGUAACCGACAAAUUUGAUAUCAUUGGACAUCUCAUAGUAUGGAUAAGUACUUAGGCUAUUAUUAAAUAAUUAGUGAGGAUUAAUUUUACUUUUCGCUUCCUAACUUGUGAUCUCAUUUUCACUUUGUAUGUUAAAUCCUCAUUUAGAUACAUUACAUUCUAAGUCUUCAAAUUUAUCAUAUUUUAUUCAAUUGUUGACAAUGUUAAGAAAAUUAAUGAAACUUUUGUAUGUGCAGACGACACACAUAUUAAUCAGCCUGUCAAAUUCAACUUGUUAUCCCUUACUGAUCUCACAAUUGUUCAAAGUUGUGUCAAAAGAUAUUAGAACUUUUGCCCACAAAAUCUUAACGAAGGGUCAACUGAGAUUCCCCCUCCUUUUCGGUCAACAAGUAAGUGAAAGUUGAUGUGUACAGUUAUAGUCUCAUAGAGAAAAUCAGAAAACAUGAGUUCCUUUAAGCAUCACAUUUUGUAUCUGAAUUGAACAUUCAAAUGAUAAUUUCUGGUUCUUACAGAAUUACUGUUACCUUUUCUGCAAUAACAUAAGCAUCUGUUUAAACUAUGUGUGAAAAAAAAUUAUGCUUUACGUUCAUGGUAACGCGUUAGACAUCAAUAUGCAAGCAGCAUAAAUACAAUGAAGAAAUAUCAAAUAGCCAAGAACAAACUUCGAAUAUAUAUCAAACACUUACAGUGAAAAAGAAGGAUCAGCUUCUUAUGAAAACAACAAUACAGAUAUACAAUACAUGAAUAAGCAAGGAUUCAUACACCACUUUUAUUUGUUCACAGUAAAUGGAGAAUAAAACACUCAAAGUUUGUAGGAAUGAUAAUACAACACAAGCAGAUACACACUAAUAAGCAAUUGUGUUCAGGUUUAACCCUACACAUUUUCCUCAGCACUAAUCCAAAGAAGAUCAAUUUGUGUCAUCCAGUGGCAUGCUUCACCUUUUCCCGGGGAGAGCUUGAGUAUCUUGAAUGCUGCAUGAUAUGAUGGCCAUGCAGAGGUAUCCAUAUGGCAUAUUGCUAAGAUUGUAUUGACUGGAACUUUUGUUUUAGGUUCAACUACAUCCACUGCAUAGAUUUC